This 52036-nucleotide long non-coding RNA is filed under the name Manihot esculenta (cassava). RNAcentral's name for it is "long non-coding RNA (MESC_LNC000155)". Lineage: Eukaryota; Viridiplantae; Streptophyta; Magnoliopsida; Malpighiales; Euphorbiaceae. The record is from RNAcentral.
CGGUCAGGUUGAUCCCUCACGGGACCCACAUUUCCCACGUGUACAAGAAUAUUACCAGUCGGCAUCCGCGUGUCUUAACUAGUAAGCAAACUUUGAAUCGCAAUUUCCUCGUGUGAUUUUACUUUGAGCAAUUCGUAUUUAUCUUCUUCCAGAAUUACUCAUAAAUAUUUGUUUUCCCAAUAACAAAUAAAGAAAAUAUUUGAACAGCCUAAAUCAAUAAUUAAUUAAAAAAAUUCAACAUCUAUGUAUAAAAACAAUAAGCCUACCCAAGAUAGGACUAUUUAAGCCAUUUCUGGGUCAAAUCAAACCAAAACCAAAAUCAAAAUCGAAACCGAAACCUUCUUUGAGUGUUACCUAAGCAAACCCUUCCUGAAAUCUUCCUAUAUAUAUAUAUAUAUAUACCUGAAUUUCCUCCGCCCAACAAUCUCCCAUUCUUCUUUUCUUCUUCUUCUUCUUCCUCUUGAUCAUAUGUUGGAGAUAUUACAGUAACAUGACCAACAUACCAACUUCUCUCACAGAUUCUUCUCUUGCUCUCUUCUCUCUUGCCAUCUCUGCCUCAGACCCUUGGCCUUUCCCUCUUAUUCUCUAACCUCAAAAUCCCAUCUUUUCUUCAUUUUGUUGUUUCUUGAUUUAGUUUCUUGUGUUUUUUCUUAAUAUAUAUAGAUAUGGGGAGUGGAGAGAGAGAGAAAAACAACCAUCACUCGAAUUUCCAUGGCAACUUGCUACAGCUUCUUCACUUUCAUAAUCACCAUCACCACCACCAUCAUCAAGGGAAGAAGGAUUUGAAAGAUAUUCCAAAAGGGUGUUUGGCGAUCUUGGUUGGACAAGGUGAGGAGCAGCAGAGAUUUGUGAUACCUGUGAUUUACAUAAAUCACCCACUCUUCAUCCAGCUUCUUAAAGAAGCUGAAGAAGAAUAUGGAUUUGAUCAGAAAGGUCCCAUUAUUAUUCCUUGCCAUGUCCAGGAGUUUAUUAAUAUCCAAGGCAUGAUUGACAAGGAAAAUACCCAUCACCAACAUCACCACCUUUUGUGUUGUAGGGUUUGAUUUUUAUCAUGUAAUUGUGUAAAGCUUGCUCUUUAUUCAUCACUUCUUCAUUUUUCUUUCAUUUUUUUUUUCUUUUUUAAUAUUAUAUUGUAAAUGNNNNNNNNNNNNNNNNNNNNNNNNNNNNNNNNNNNNNNNNNNNNNNNNNNNNNNNNNNNNNNNNNNNGAUAAUGGCGAAUUAUUGAAUGAAAAAAAAAAAAAAGAAAAAUAUUAUUAUUGGGUUUGCUUGUUAUCCACUUCUCUUCAAAAUGUGAACACAAUAAACUAGUACGUGUGAAAUUGUAUACGUGUAGGACACGGUUGUAAACAUGCUAUAAUCUAAAAAAAAUUUAAGUCUGUAUAAAUAAAUUAAAAUAAUUUUUGUAUCAAAUUUGAAAAUUGAUUUGGGAGUGAUUGUGUAAUCUAUGCAAGGUUAGGUGGGAGGUGUGGAUGUUUUAGCUACACCCACCAGUAGCCGUGUUUUGGAGAAUACUAGUUGUUCUUCCUAAAUUCUUGGAACUUUCUCCUUAAUUUUAGUCGACCACAUUAAUAUAAGCUAAAUUAAUUAAGGUUACUAUGAAUUUGGAUCGGUUGUUUUCCCAUUUCAUCUUUGGUGCAUAGACUCCUAAAAUGUAAAUUUGUAUAAAAAAAAUGAUUAAAUUUAAUUAUCUAACAUUCAAAAGGUAGAGUUUUGAUACGUGUGAAUGAAUUUAGUUUUAAAUCGCUCAUUUCUUCUCGUAUCUCUCCUUUUUUAUUUUCUAACAACGUGUUCUUAUUGUGCAGGCUGUAUGUACUUAUAUUGUAUGGACCUGAUUCUAGAUAAAUAGGGAUAUAUAACUCUAUUAAACUCAUCCAAUCGAGUAGAUCGGAUUUUAACGUCUCGAAAUCUGACCGUGUUAAGUCAGAUCUGUUAACAUAAAAUCUAAAUCACGUUUAGAAAAAUAGACCUAUUAACAUGAGGUCUAGACCACGUCAAAAAAAGUGAACCGAUGUAUUGAGUUGUCAUGAGAUUCUGCUAUGUCCCUCUUUUAUGAACUUAAUAAAAAUUGAGGUGCUAUCAAAAUCAACACGUGAGAAUUAAUUAAAGAAACAUUUUAUCAUUAACAUGCUUUAAAAAAAACUUGCAUUUACAUUCGAUUAAAUUCAUUAUAUGAAUAUUUGGUGUUUUUUUUUUGGAUUUUCUAUUUAAAAUAUAAUUUAAAAAGAAUAAGAAAAACAAAUCUGAAUGGAAUUGAGUAGAUCAUAAAUGGGAAAACGUAGAGAAUCGCGAGAGCCACAUUGGCCGCUCAUUACUAUUGUUGAGAAAAAUGCGUUGGAUUUGCCUACGCCCGAUUUUCAGCGAUUUCAUUUCACAAUUAUCAGUUUUUUUAAUCUUUCGUGAUAGACUUGAAUCCUUUUGACAUACACUAUUUACAUACAUACAUACAUACAUACAUACAUAUAUAUAUAUAUAUAUAUAUAUAUAUUGAAAUUUAAUAAUUAAUAAUUUUAAAAAUAAUUUUAGUAUUAUUAAGAUUUUUAUUUAUCUGAAAGAGAAAAAAAAUUAAUAUCUUUUUAUUUUUUCACAUUUAUAGAAUUUAAAAAAAAUUAUUAAUGAAAAUUUUUUUAUUCUAAACUUUGAAUUCAUUAAAAAUAUUCUAUUAAAUUAUAUUUUUAAAACGAAAUUAUCUCAUAUCAAAAAUUAAGUUACAUUUAAAGAAAAGUAAGUUAUAUUUUUAUUUUUUUUAAAGAAAAGAUUAAGAUUGAGUUGGUGAGUAAUCAAUUUCGAUAAUUUUGAAGAGAAUGAGAUUCAAACCAAACACAUUCUUAACGAUUAUCUUAAAAUUAAGGUGGUCGGUGUUCAUCAUUGUUUAUUUUAAAAAUAAAUAUGAGCAAUAAAAUAAAUUAUAUCAAAAAGUAUUUAAAUUUGAUCGACAAUUUAAAUUUUAUUUAUGUAAUAAAUAUUUAUUUAGAAUAUUUCAUUAUGUAAUAAAUCAAUUUAAUGUGAAUAUAAUUUAAUUUUGAUUUAAUUAGUUGAAAAAAUAUAUAUAAAAAACAAAUAAUUAGGCUUUUUAAUUUAUAAAACAUCACAUGAAUUGAAUAGCGUAAAGCUGUAUGAGCCAAAACCAUCACCAUGUAUAGAGGCGAGGGACAUGGCAAUUGGUCAACGACCAUUCUUAAACCUCUCAACGUCAUUAAAAAAAGAAAUAUUGAAGAAAAAAAAAUCAAUUAUUCAAAUCUUCACUGGUCUAUUCUGUUGUUUCCUAAUUUGUAAAUAAAAAUAAAAAAAAUUCCUUAAUAAUAUUUAUUACCCAAUUGAUAGAUUAGCAAUUCAAUCUAUCAAUUUAUUCCGAUUUUAAUUAUGCCUCCUUUUUUAAAAAAAUUAAUUUAUUAAGCAUCCGUUUGUUUUUUUUAAAUAAUUUUUUUUAAUUAUUAAUUUUAAUGUUUAUGAUUCAAUGUUAAUCCAAUUCAAAAUUGAUUAUCAGUGUCUUUUUUGCAUUGUUAAUUAUUUUAUAUAAUUUUAUGUUUUUUAAUGGGGAUGAGAGCUUGAGAACAUGAAUGGCAACAUGAGCUUUCCCAUACUGAAAGGGCAAUUUGCAAGUUGACAUUAACUUCUAUUAAUGGGUAAUUAGGCAAUGCUUAUUAUCCACUAAUCCAAAUGCAUAAUAGGAAAUUGUUUGACUAAUUGAUUCAUAGAAUAUGAUAUUAUCAACAUGGUUUGUGGAAAACCAUCUUUUUAGUUUCUUUCAAACUAACUACUUUUUGCUUUAUGACUCAAUCAUUAAAGCAUAAUUUGGUUAGUUUGCUCACACUAGACCGGACCAUGAUCCGGUUUCAGCUUGUAAUGAGAUUGGUCUAACUCAGAAUUGAAACUACACUGAAAUCUCUAUGAGCUCAAAUCAAUCUUAAUCAAACCAAAACCAAGCCAGCAUGGUUUGAUUCAAUUGGCAUUUUCUCUUUUUUUUAAAAAGAAAUAAAAAAAAUCAACUGCUGAAUUGGGUUCAAACUGAAUGAAAUCAGAACCAAAUUGGAGUCAUCUCAGGUCAUCAAUGAACCAAUUUGGGCAGAGAUUAAGCUACAAAGGAAACAAGAAUCUAAAUUUAUAUUCUGUAUUGAAGCGUUGAACAUGUAAAGCAUACAUAUUCAUCUUUACAAAUAAGGUUAUAGUGAUCUUCUUUCACAUGUGCUGCUCAAACCCUUUUUUUUAUGGAAGAAUGGUUCCAUCUGAAAAAGUUUGCAUUGACUUUUAGGAGCUAAAGCAUCACAAUGCCUCAAGCAAAUCAUAUCAUUUACGGAGCUCAAAUCAUCCAAUUUGAGAUCAAAGCCAUCAGCAAAGCAAUUAAGGUUAUUAAAGCAGCCAUUUGAGUGACAGUGAAGAGUAUUAGGACAAUAGCGAUCUAGAUGUCUGAGACUAGUGAACAAUCUAACUUCCAAUGCUCAAAUUACACUUGAAUUUGCUUGUUUAACACUACAAAGAACAGGAAGACUCACAAGAGCUUAAUAACCAAAACAAUUAUAAACAAAGCUGAAAUGCUGAAAUUCUCACAUUUUUUUUGUUGCAAUUGAAUAUCAAAUUACAUGCUAAAGAUAUCCAUAAGAGAUAAGAUAGAUCAACAAACCCCAUCACCCUUGAGUCUAUGGCAUUCUCCUUGCCCCCAUCUAGAAAGAGAACUGAUAAAUCCUAAGGCAAAAGGUCUCAACUGAUUGACUACAGAUUCAAGCCAUAGUAACAUGUCUCAUUAACACCUGCACUUCUUCACCAUACAUUUAAAUUCCAGAGGAAGAGAGGGAGAAAGAGAUUGGGUCAGUUGCACAGGUCAAUUUUCGUCUCAUAACCAUGGGUCAGCUGCAGAUAUACAUGUAAUCAUUACCGCCAAUAAAAGCUAUAUAGUAUCAUCUCAUCAUCAGCAAAUAGCAUGUAGCAUUUUAUAUAUUUGUAAAUUCCAAAGGAUGAUAGGUAGAAAGAGCGAGAUUCGAACUUUCAAUAUUUGAAUGUUGAAGAAUCAGAAGUCUUUUUACAAAUAUUUAGCUUCUGGUGAUACCACAGGCCAAGGUAAGUUAUAAAGCUUAGGAUCAGCUCUUAAAACAGAACAAAAAAUUCCUGAUUCAGUCUGAGCCAGAAAGGUCUACUUACUUCCACUUAAUAAUCUAUAGGUUGUGACACCAAUACUUCACAUAUCAGCUUCAACACUGUAAGUUGAAAUCUAUGGAGCACUUCAGAUGCAACAUAAUGCACUGCUAAGAAUAACAGUCCUAAUUUUCAAUAAUAAUAAUGACCAGCUGCACAAUCACUAUACUGAAUUAUAUAAUUUCUGCAAGCUUGCCAUUUGGAUAGAGCAUAUUAUCUUCUGCAUAAAUAUUUCAGUUACACUACCCAACAAUUGCAGAAAGCUCCACCACAAGCCCUGUGCUUCAAUAUUCUACAAGACGACCCUUAGAUGAUUGUCAGGAAUGUCAAUUUCUAACGAGUUAAAGCAAGCGAAGCUUCUCAACGUUCCUGAGAAUUUAACUAAAAUCGGAAUUUUCAGUGGCAUUGUUAGAAAAUAAGUCUCAAUGUAAGAAUCAUUUUGGCUUCAAAUCAUUGAAAUUAACCAGAAACUAUAUAACACUCGGUUGACUAGCUAGUUCAAUUCUGCAAAAAUCAUUGAAAUUAACUAGAAACUAUAUAACACUCAAUUGACUAGCUAAUUCAAUUCCACAAACUAGGGGGGAAAAGUGUAGUAGUAGUAAAUAGUAGUAUGUGCACCUUCCCUUUGGAAAUGCUCUUGACAAAUCGCAGCGACCGGCUGUCCUUUGAGCUCCCGUUUCUUUCAUUUAGCCAGCAAGAAUAGCCCAAACUCCCUCACCAACUCAAACUUCACCCGAAAAUUCUUCGCGUGGCAAAAACUCUAAUCCAGCUGCUUCUUGCUCCCACCUCCCUCUCUGUCCUCCGGUAUUGGCACCUCCUUGGCGGCUUAAUCUGCCCUCGGGCCUCAUAAUAGCCAUAAUCACCUUAGCCGGAGACUAAGGCGGCAACGACUUUCUUCCUGGAUUACCUGCUAGACAAGGAGAUGGCGGAACUUCGGCCGGAAAGGACUUUGGAAUGCGCUGGCACGAAGGAGUUAAAAUGUGGAAGGCGGUGUCUCCGUCGGUUACAGUCGGAGGUGGCGAUGAAGGUGCUUAAAGUGGUUCGCGCGUGAUUCCAUCAUUUUCAUUUACUCCAUCGUCGGACAUGGAGGUGGUGCUAAUGUUAGUUUGAUCAAUAAAAAUAAAAAAGGUCAGUUCAUCGGACGGCAUAGAAUUUAGCUAAGACAAAAUUUACAAUCCAAGUUUUCUACAGGCGAAACAAUCAAAGGGCAGUAGAGAAAAGAAGAGAAGAGGAAGGACAAGGAAAUAAAGCUAGCGUUACAGUGAUUUUAACAUUCAUCAGAAAAAGGCUAGAAGCCGACGUGAAAAAAAAAAAUCCAAAAAAGAGUAUAGCCCAAUUAAAAAAAGAAAAAACAGAAAAAACGCAGCUCAAAGUUCAAAACCAGUCCUUAAAGAAAGGUCCACUAACAAAAAAAAAUCAUAACAGGCAAGUAAAAUCUGUCACCCAAAGGCAUCCAUACUAUGUUUGGAUGCCUGGAAAAUAAGGGAGAAAAGGGAAAUUUUAAAGAUAAUAAAAUUGAGACAUAAAUGUAGUAUGAAUUCCAAAAUUAUAUGGAUUCAAAUCUCAAUGAUCAAGAUUUGGAUGAACUCCAUAAAUUUAUUUUUCAUACAGUAAAUGUGAACUUUGUUCAAUACUAUUACUUAGAUAACAUUCAAAAUAAUUUAAAAUUUAUUUUUAUAUGAUGCAAUUAUGAUGACUCCAAAAAAUCUAAUUAUCCCAUUUAAAUUGUUUUUUAAUAUUAAAAAAAUAGUUAAAUAUAUAUUUACUUAGUGUCAAAUAAUAUAAUUACAAUCUAUUAAAUACAUCAACUUACUUAUGGCAUAACAAUUAAACAAAAAAUUAACUAUACAAGCAAUGAUGUGUCAAAAAAAAUUUCCACUUAUUAUUAAUUAAAUUUUAAAUUUUAUUAAUUAUGCUCUAUAUUUUUAUAAAAAAAUAAAAUUAUUCUAGUCUAAUUUUUUUAUAAUAAAUAAAUAUUUUUCUGAUAAUAAUUAUAAAUUAUUUUCUAUUUCAUAAUACUAAAGUAAUUGUUUGAUAUUUUAAUAUUUCAUAAUUUGUUCUGAUAUUAAUUUUUCUAAUUUACUCACUCAAUUUUUAAAUACUAUUAUUCUAACUGAAUUAAAAUACAAAAUAAUAUAUUAAAAAUAUUACUAAAUAGAGUAAAAAACAACUAAUAUUAUCUUAGAUCUGUAAUUUUUUUAUAUAAAUUUCUAGGUCUAAUGAAUCUUACUAAAUAUUAAUAUAAUAAUUAAAAUAAUAACAAAAAUAAUUUAAUUUGUUAUGAAAAUACAUUCCUUAAUAUAUUAUUAAAAAUUUAAUGUAGUAAUUUUGUUUCCAUAUUAUUAUUAUUAUUAUUAUUAUUAUUUAAAAGAUAUACUUAUCUAUUAAUUUUCAACCUCAAAUAAAUUUUUUUGUACUUUUCUAAAAACAAAUCGAGGACAUGGAAGAAAGACUUAAAGUUUGACCAGGACUGGCAAGCAAGCGAAACUUAGAACACAGAAACGUGAGAUACACACGCAAGUACAGCGCGUGUAAUCAUCAUGUCUUAGAGAUGAAGUUGCCCUAUAAAUGGCGGGAGCCUCCCAUGUAUCGAAAUUUCUUUCCCAAUCAUCUCUCUCAUUCUCUCUUUCUCUCCACCGUCAACUUUUCACUAUUUACACUCCAAGCCCCUGCAAAACCCUCCAAUCUUACAAAACCCCACAAAUCUUCACCUAAGGUACUCUCUUCCCCUCUCUCUCUAUAUCCCAUUUUGUUUUCUAUUUCUCUCCAUUGUCUUUCAUGGUCCAUUCUAUUGGUAUUUUUUACAAUUCUAGGGUUUCAGUUGAUCUCUUCAUAAAACUUAGGGUUUUUUUCUUUUUUAAUUUUUUUAUUCUGCGUGCUUAGGUACCGGAGGAGAAUUGGAGUAGUAUUGUUGACUUCUGCCGAUUUAAUGGAGGCCGCCGCCGGUGUUGUCGCCUCACGCGGUGGUUCUCUGCCGAUGUCAUCGUCUAGGAAGGAGUGGCGUGCCGUUUCUGACCACCAUUCGGUUGGAACCGCAGGCGAUGAGGUGGUAAUCUACUUAUUUUGUUUUGUUAUGUUAUGCGUUUGGGUUGGUUCGAUUCCUGAGAAAAAUGUUGGAAGUUGUAGAGGAACUGAAUGUUUGUUGGCUAGGGGUUUUAUUAUUAUUUAGGUAUGGUACAUAAUUUGAUGCAAAGUGUGUUUCCAUUGAUUUUAUCAGCUACCAAACUUGGAGUUUGGGAUCCUCAUUCUUUUCAGUGAUACAAACAGAAGGCUUGAUGAGAACAAUUUGGUUUUGAUAUAGCUUUACACCAGGCCUUUGAGGUAACCUGGUGUUAGGGUUUAUUGGCUUAUGUGUUCACUUGUAAUUAAGUGGACAAAUUUGAACUUUUUGAUACGGGCAUAAUUAAUUGAAAUUAAUUUACUGUGAUGGAAAAAUUAGUCUCCAGUUGGUUGUGGGAACUUAAGUCCGGUGUAGAGUUUCUUGUUAAUGAAUGUUGUCCUGUUAUAUUAUAUGAUCAACAUUGAAAUUAACCAAUAUUUUAUUAUCAAACCUUGGUUGCUUUUUUAAUCCAUUUUCUGGGUAAUUAGUAACGUUCCUAGGAUGCAUUACAUGUAUUGAUUCUUUGUCAUUAACUUAAGGACUUGUUAAUCACAGGAAUUGGACCGGCCAAAUUUGGGGCAAUCGGAUGAGAGAACUAUCUAUGAGGUAAUAUCUUGUUGUUUUGAAUGAGCCUUUGGUUUGAUGGCAAUGGAAAGUGAACAUGAGUUUGAUUUUAUCAAGGUGCAGCGUGCAAGAGAACCUGCUGAUGUGGACUUCUGCUCAAUCAAUGUGAAUGGUAGCUUGGACAAUGACAUUAUGCAGCAGCGAAUUCAUAGUAUUACUAGGCAAAGAGAAGAGCUUCAACAUGUGGAGAUUGAACUUAAAGCUCAGUUGAUUUCGAGAUCUGAGAUCCUGGAAAUGCAGCACAGCUUUGAUGCUCAAAUCAAAGAGCAUAAAGAUGCUGCUGCAAAACUUAAGGUUGAAACUUUUAUGAGUUUUGUUUUCUGAGCUGGAUGUUCAUAGAAAAGUGUAUUGAGCUUAAAACUUGUUAUUUUUGGAGUAAUUUUCUUUCUGAAGAGGAAGAUAUUAAGUUGAAAUAAUAAUUUUGUAUUGACAUAAACCGUUGGAUCAGAUGUGUGAAUUUCGCUGCAUAUGCACUAAAUCCUUGUGGUCUGCUGCAUGAAAUUUUGUAGCAUGUAGCCAUUGAGGUAUAUUACGGCUCAAAAGUUUCUUCCAAGUCUGUAGAGUCUAAAUAGUGAUAACUUGAUUGUUUCUCUCUCACAUCAUUUUCACCUUAUUUCUUCUUCUUCUUUUUUUUUUUUUUUGGCAGGAACAACUUCAUGAAAGGGAACAGGCCAUACAUGAAUUGGAAAGGGGAAUGGAAGAGAAAGAUAGGGAAUUGCAUGCUAUUAAAUUGGAUAAUGAAGCGGUUUGUUCAUGUGUACAUGGUGAUUUUAGAUAAAGCGUUUCUGGUGAACUGUGUGAAGUAUUAUCUCAUCUCAUUUUCAGGCCUGGGCCAAGGAAGAUCUUCUCAGAGAGCAAAAUAAAGAAUUGGCAACAUUUAGGUAUGCAUAAGUGCAAUUUCAACAUCACUUUGAUCCUUAGUAACUUUACAUUGUUUUUUGGUAAUUGAGGAAAGCCCCAUCUUUUUUAGAGACUGUAAAGUAGAAACUGUACAACUGAAGUAAAGGUCCCCAAGAAGGCACCAUUGUUGUCUAUUUAGGGCUUUUUUUUUUCUCGUUUUUGUCUUCUUCUGUUGGUUGUAUUUCUAUUUUCAUUUUUUGCCUUGGUUCAAACCUGUACAAUAAAAUGUUAAUUUUCUAAAUUCUCACAUUUGGAGGUCUUUUUAUAUGGAUAUAAGGACAGUUUACAAUAGACAGUUAAUAUCUAUGUCGUAAUAAUCUUGUUUUAAUCCUGUAUGAAUCAACUGGGACUGCUUCUUCUGCAGAAGAGAGCGGGAUCAUUCUGAAGCUGAAAGGGCACAGCAUAUACAGCAAAUACGUGACCUUCAAGAACUUAUUCAAGAAAAAGAGAGGCAGAUUCUUGAAUUGCAGGAACAGGUCUAUUGAUUGGAAGUUUACAUACCUGGUUCUCCAUUAAGAGUACAUUUUGUGGUGUUCAUUGAAAAUUUUAACUAUAGAAUUAUAAUUUGUAUUUUUCUUGGAUUCUUUCAUAUCUAACUGCUGUUCAUAAAUUAUUUAACAGUGGGGGGAUCAGUUUGGCUAAUAUUGAUGUUAUCUUUCAGCAUAGAGUUGAUCAGGAGACCAUAUUUUUGAAGGAUGAACAAUUGAAAGUGUGGAUCGCACGUGUUCAAGAGAUGGAUGCCUUGCAAUCUACUUUACAAGUUGAAUUACGAGAACGUACUGAACAAUAUAAUCAGCUAUGGAUGGGUUGUCAAAGACAGGUUGAUUUGCAAUAAGAUCUUUUGGCACUUACUCAGAUGUUUGCUUUUUAUCACAUUUGUGUGUCCUGUUUGCUUGCUUCUAUGCGUAUGUCUAUGAGCUUAAUAGUUUUACUCUUUUUGUUGGCUGACAAAUCAGUUUUUUCAUUUUGCUUCUGAUAUUUGUUUUAAUUUCUUGGCAUACUCUAAUAUGCAGUGUAGAACUGAUUAGUACUUGACUCCUUUCUACAUGAUAAACAAAUGUGUGCUGCUAAUCUUCUGGCCAAAGGUUUAUUUAUUUGCUUCUUUGGAUUGUUGAUGUCAGUUAGCAGAAAUGGAGAGACUUCAUUUGCAUACUGUACAACAGCUUCAUCUUGAGCUAGCUGAUGCAAGAGAAAGGAGUGGACCCUACACUGAAGAGUCACGCAUAUCCCAGACAAACUCAAAGGAUAUGUCAAAGUUUGGUCAAAGCAAUGGAAAUCAACUAGAUGUUAAUGCUAAUGGUGCAACAAGUGCUAAUGAUGGACCACUUCCAAAUGGGAAUGCAGAUAAUGCAUCAAACCAGGUAAUAUUGCUUCGCAUUGUGGUUUUUUUGUUGCCGAUAAGUAUCGGAUGUCAAUGUCAGUGUGAACCUCUGUGAAAAUUUUAAUAAUGAUUACGCAUUUGUAGUGGGUAUGUACAGUGAAUAUCUCCUCUUCUAUUAAACAUGACUGUGGUAUAUUGGCAGUUCAACAUUUUAAUGCAUUGCAUAUCCUCUUCUUUUAGCGGGUUCCAUUGCCAUCCAUGUUGUGUUGCUCUACAAGUACAAAUUUAACCUCUUAAUAAAUUUGUUACUGGCACUGUCUAACCCGUGUGGAAUUUGCAAUAUGUCCAAAAAAGAAGAAGAUAAGCUUAGAGAGGUCCCACAAUAAUUGAUAUGAAAACCAGAUAAAAUGAAAAAAUUUUCAUCUAUGUUAUGCAUCUUCAACCCAUUAGCCAAACCAUAAAUUGUUGUUGCUGUAUGAAAGAUUACAUGUUAGGAUACGUUUUUAUGACAUGGGAGCAUCUGUAUUGGUGUACAAAAAUUAGUUACCUCAUUUCUGUCAUUGGGGCUAGUGGCAAUUGGCAUUUAUAUUAGGCACCUCCCAUGCUUUUUCUGUGAAUUGUACUGGUAGUUUUGGUUAUUUUCAUGGUUUUUCGACAAACUUUGGUAACUAUAAAAUCUUAUAAUACUGUUAUUAUUGAAAUAUCGGUAUGUUUUUCAUGGAAAAAUUCUGUAAUAUGUGUAAAUGUAGCAACUGAUAUUAAGGCUAUUAACACAUCAAAGAAAUACUAGUUGGGGUUUUCACGUUGCUGUAACAAUGUCUUCAGUGUUCAUGUCUGUUUGCACCUUAUUUGAUAAAAAAUAUUAAGGAUGCAAGUCUAGAGAUAAAGAGAGGGGGAUGGGCUGUAGAUAAAUAGAAAGAUACAGAAGGGGUUAAUUUCAUCAAAUAUGAGGUAUGAAAGUGUGGACACAGAGAUGUGCAAUAUAAAGUUAGACCAUGGUUUACUCAAUGUGUAAGUAGGAGAGGGUGAAAAUAAUUAGGAAAUAUGACCAAGUAAACCCUAAAGUAUCUGAAGUUUGUUCCUUGAUAGGAUGUUUUUCCUGGAAAAUUAGUAACCAAUACUACAUGUACAUGUGAAAAACUUUGUUCCAUUUGUUUUAUGGAAAUAUGUUCCGCAUUUUCUGACUUUUUUGCACUCAAGAAAAUUGAUCAAUGAAAAAUGUUUCUUGGUCAAAGAGAAAUUAAUUCAUUACUCUUACUUUGAGAAUCUUAUUAAUACCACUAAACUUCUUAUAUAUAAAUGUACUAAUAUCUUCAUUUCUUUUUUUAACUUUGCUACCAAACAAUUAAAAAAAAUUAUUUUUGCUGAAAAUAUUUUCCAUGUUUUUUAUGUACAAGCUAUUUUCCAUGAACAAGUGGAGGCUUAGUUGAUAGACUACAUGUCAGUAGCAAAGAGAAUCCUAGUCUAGUGUAAUGCUGUAUUCAUGAUUUCCAAUAUUGUUGUGCUCUUUACUAGACCAACCAUGUUGCUGGUGUCCCCAUUGCCCCAUCAUCUUUGCUUGGGAUGCCUACCUACCUUCCGCCUGGACAGGUUACUGCAUUGCAUCCAUUCAUUCUACAUCAACAGGGAAUUCCUCAUUCUAUGCCAUCACAUGUUCCUCAAUCUCAUGUUGGGCAUUUUCACUCAAUACCAGCAAUGUCAUCUCUUCCACAGUGGCAGAACCAGCAGGUACUACCAGAUUGAAAUAUCCUUUCUGCCUACUUCUUGCAUGAUUUUGUGAUAUUAGUGUGUAUUUCUUUCCAUUUCUUAUAUGAUGAAUGUGUGAUCUUGUGUAAGUUAUUUUACCUUUGUUAAUGUUUUGAAUAUUAUUAUUCCUCAUUUUUCUCAGGUUGCAUCUGAGGGUGCUCAAUUAUCUACACAGAAUCCACCGACUUCUUCCCAACCUGAUCAUAACCUUAUGGGAUCAGAUGCAAAGUAUGAGUAUGAAAUGUCUGUCAACGGACAAGGGUUCCGUCCAGGUUAUGUGGAUGUCCACAAUAGCCAAGUGACAGAGCCUGAUCCUGUAAUCUCAUCGUCUACUGGGGAAGCACAGGUUCUGCAUAUUUACAUUUGCUGUCAUGUGAUAGAGACUUGUGAUCAUCAUUGAUAGGGUCUACUUAAAUGCUUUCUGUUGCAGGUCCUUGAGUCAAGAGAUAGAAGUUACAUGGUUGCCUCCCAGCCUGAGCAGCGCUUACAACAAAUUUCUUCCCAAUUUAAUGAUUCCUUAAGACUGAAUACUCUUGAUAAGAACAGUGAAGCAAAGGUUCAAUGCUUUGUUGCUCUAUAUUCUCUGCUUUUCUGAUACCGUUGGUUGCUUGUUUAAUUCAAAAGAAGCUUGUGAGUCGGUCAGAGACCUGACUCAGGAUGAACUUGAAAUGUUGCAGGAGCAAAAUGUUUUCAGUGAUCAGGAUUUAGAUGGCCAAGUUUCAACAGAAGAACAACCAAGUCCUGCCAGUGCAUCUUUGUCUGAAACAUCAAUGCAUUCAGUUAAUGUUGGUGAAGCCACAAUCAAUAAUGGGACUGUAGUAGGUUUGUCUGAAUCGUUGAUCUCAACCGGGCAGGCAAAUGUGGUUACUGUUGGAAAAACUUCAGAGACUUCCCUCCUUGAUGAAAGAUCUCUGUUGGCUUGCAUAGUUCGCACAAUUCCAGCUGGUGGUAGAAUUCGGAUCAAUUCAACGGUUUGUGUCCAUAAAAAAUAAAUUCCUCAUCUUAACUCUUUUUUUAUCCUCCCAAGAGUUGAUAUAGUUCCUUGGUGUCCAAUUACAGCUACCUAAUAGACUAGGCAAGAUGCUUGCACCUUUACAUUGGCAUGAUUACAAGAAAAAGUAUGGAAAGCUUGAUGAGUUUGUGGCUGGUCACCCGGAAGUGAGUGCCUGGAAUUUGAAAUUCUAUAUUAGACAUCCUCAUUUUAUAUCUGAGAAUUCAAAUUUGUGAUUUCAGUUAUUUUUUAUCGAGGGCGACUACAUUCAGCUUCGAGAAGGAGCUCAAGAAAUGAUAGCCGCGACGGCAGCGGUUGCUAAAGUUGCAGCAGCUGCUGCAGCAUCGCAUCCUUACUCGUCAUUUUUGCCUUCUGUGGCUGUUACUCCAAUGGCACAGUCUCAUCGACUCAAGAAAGUUCCAUCAAUUGACUCAAAACAACUUAAUGGUGUUAGUUUUGGCAAUGCUGGGGGUGUCUCAAAUGUAAAAAUAUUGAGUAAACCGAAAGAAUCUCAGGAAAUGAAUGGACCAGAUUUUGAUAGAUCAAGCAUAAGCAGCAAUCAGAGCAAGGGUUCACUUCAUGGGAGGUCCAACUUGAAUUUUGCUGGGAAGCAGCAGGGCAGGUAUGUUUUCAAUAUUUCCAAAUACUGGAACUGUUUUUGAGUGGGCAUGAAGUUACAUGCAGCUGUGGCUGAAGGGCUUAUUAAGUUUAACGUUAUUGAAUCAUUGCAGGACAACUGGAGCUGCAUUAACCUCUGGAAGAUAGUAAGUUUAUUUGGCUAGUAGCUUUUCACAUCAAACAUUAGGGUUUCUAUUAUUAUUAUAAUUAUUAUUAUUAUUAUUUUAUGGGCAUGGAUUUCUUAAUUUAGUCGAGUACAACUAAUAAAGUGCGUAAUUUGUGGGACAGGAGGAAACGUGGAAUCAUAUAGAUAAAAUAUAAAAGAAUGUUGAACAGGUGUUGUGAUGGAGCGCGCACAAGAUGAUCUGCGGUAGAAUGGGCGUACUGCCAAUCGAAAUUGCCAACCAGCUUUUGCUUAUAGAAUUCUCUAUUGGACUGCUCAGUUAUUCUCUUUAAAUUUAUGCCUUUUUGGAAAAGGGGAAAAGAAAACAUUUGUUUGCGUGUGUUUUUGUGAUCCAAAAUAGAACAUUCCGACUCUUUGCAGUAAUAUUCAUGCACAAAUUUGCAUGUGCAUCUGGUAGCUUUUUCAACCUUUGUUGGCUGUGGCUGAUCUGAGUGAUUUUCUUUUCUUCUCUCUUUUAUUUUUUGGGGCCAAAAGAGUUGCAUUAAAUAGAAAUAAGCUAAAGCCCAAGGUCCUUGCACAGUGGACAUAAAAAGCCUGAGGUAAGAGGAAAAGGAGAGGCUAUUGGAGGUUCAACAGCUUAUCUAGACAAACGGCCCAAAGUUUCUAAAUACAAAACCUAGUUGCCAAAAAUGCAUCCGCAAGGCUCGAAAGUAGCCGCCGUUUGGUUGCAGUAGAAUCAACACUGCAUAAUUCUUGUAUGUACCGGUGGCCUACAAGCAGAGAAACGACCAUCGACACUGAAGGGGGUGGUGGCCAGGAGCUCUUUGGUACAGACAAUCUGUCGGGUUGGUCACCAUGAGGCUAGGGAUAUUGUUCAUCAACUGAAAACUCAAAAACCUUCUCGCCAAAGCGGCAUGAGCUCUCAGCCCAAUGGAUCACAGCUAGCCAUUGUGCCAAGCCGUUGUGAGUCGGCCCCCGGGGGUGAGAAAUAUAUCAGAGUUGUUGCUACUCACCAUAUAAAACUCAAAGCACUUUCUACCAAAGCGCCAUGAGCUCACCUAUGCAAAUGGGGAGAUAAACUCUCUAGAUUAACUAAACUUCAUCUUCAGGUCUCCGAAGGACUUGCAACUAAAAAAAUUAAAACUAUCUAUAUAUAACCAACUCAGUAGUAUGGAGGGAAUAACCCACUAAUCGAGCUAAGAGGAAAAUCUUCACUGCGCAGAGGGAUAGAGGAGGCUAUAGAACUAGCAAAUUUAGGGACUUGACCCCAAAAGCAAAUAGAACACAAAAAGUGGAGAGCUUCCUUGUCUAAGAAUACUUUGUAAAGAGAGAAUUAGAACUAAUGAUGUAGUAGCAAGUGGUUUUCUGCUGAACUUUUCCUCAUUCUAUUUCCCUGAAGAGCCCCGCAAUAGAAUAACAACGCAUAGGAUAUUAUUUUGAUUCGAAGAUGUUCUGCCAAAUUAAUAAAACAAAAUUAAUUGAUGUUUCAUAAAAUCGCACUUUUUCAUUUUUAUAAUUGUGGGUAUAUGUCCAAUAGUUAGCGCCGGUCUGAUUUUAUCACAAAUUUGUCUAUCCAACUUGUUACCUUACAGCAGGGUCUCUCAAUCUUGAUUUAAAUUUUGGUUCGGGAAGUAGAAAAUUUGUCCAAUAUCUUUUUAUCUCAAAACUGAAGAAAGUUGAGUUAGACUCAAAACUUGAUUGGUUUGCUCUAGCUGGUUGUAGUCUGAUAGAAAAAAAAAAAUUUUUUUAUUCCAAAUUAGAUUUUGGUCUAAUUUAAUUUGGAUUGUUUGGGUUUUAAUUUAAUCCAAUGGUUGGUAAAUCAAUUGCACUAACUAGAUUUAGUUUAAUCGAAGAAGAAAAUGGUUUGAUUUUGAUUCUGAGUAGUUUUGAUCGACUUAAGAUUCGAACAAGAUGAUGGCCAGGAGUCUAUAGCUAAGGCCAUAUGUAUGAACUUAUUUAGAUCAGAAUUUCCCUCUAUUUCUAUCUAAAAGUUGUAAAAAGCUGCAAAUCCAGUAAUGUCAGUUUAGACAUUUGAUCGAACACUUUGAGUGAAAGCAUAGCAAUCACCUGCCUAGCUAGCGAUUCAAAUGGUAGGCUCCCUUCUCAGCCACAUUAUGAGCUUUUAGUGAAAAGUUUCUACUUUUGUCAAAUUUAACUUAAAUAUAUCUUUAUAUUAAGAUAUUUUUUAUUUUUUUCUGAUAAUUUAAUGAUUAAUUUAACGUAAAGAUUUUAAAACGACAUAUAUAUAAGACAAUUUCCUUUGCUACUAGAUAUAGUAUAGUGUAGCAGAAUUCUUAUUGACAUUAUGCUAGGCUGCAACUUAUAUUAAAUAAGUGGGAUCAAAUUUUAAAAAAAUUGUAAAUUCAGGUUUUUUUUUUCAAUCAUUAGGUAUUUAAAUUAUUUGACCUAGCAAUGCAAGUACAAAAGGAGGGAUUGAAAUAUAUGUAUAAAUGCAAAAACUGACUUAAACAUGCAAAAGCUUCUAAUUUCCUUUUAAGGAGAAGUAAAUUAAAAAAGCACUUUGAAAACUAAAAUGGCAAAGAGAAUGAUAGAAUACCUUGUCCAGAAAAAUAGGAAGGAGACCAAGCUUAGACUUGCAAAAUCUCUGGACAAGGGAUACACUAUAGAAGAUAACGAUAUUGAGGUUUUGUUGCUUACAAUAUAGCAGCUUAAGCAUUUCUCCAGUGAGAUUAUGCUUGGAGAUGAGGGGCAAAAAGAAGCUGCUUUUUCCCAUGUACAGAUACAACUAGCCUUCAGAGAUGUACCAGUGCACUUGGAAGUCCUUCAAAACUAUAAACAUUCAAGAAAAAUGGCCAAAGAUGGCCAUAUGAGUUGGUAUCGUCUGCUUUCAUACGUCCAUACCUCCAUCAUUCAUGCUGGGCAUCUCUCAUCUGCCGCUGUGCGAGGUGCUGCUGAUGGAGGUGGUGCUGCUGCUGGAGGUGAAGUGGCAGCUGCUGCUGAUCAUUGAUCUGGAAAGGUAGUUUCGGAGUGAAAUAUAUUGGUUGCUGAGACAUUGCAACUUGAGAUGGUUGAAUGUAAUGCUCUUGUUGCAUUGUGGACUGAGGGGAUGUCUGCAAUUUUUGACAGAAGCAAAUGUUGCAACAUUCAAAAAGCAAAGAGAAAAAGAAAAGUACUUUGGGGUGCAUUCAUCGGCAUUUUCACCUGAGAAGGCAUUGUUGUCCCUUGUGGUUGGGCAUCAGCUAUUCUAGCUAGGUACAUCAGGUUCUGCUGUAGCUGAGCUUGAUAACUGGAUCAUUCGCAAUGUCAUAUGGCCAAAUAUACCAAUAUGCACCAUGUAAAGGUACAAUGAAAUUGACUAAAUGCUACAAAUAUUUCUGAUUUUAGUAGUCUUUAGAUUUCUCUAAGCAAGAAAGGAGAUUAGCAUGCUUAAAUGUCGUGAACAUUUAGCUGAGAGGUUCUCUGCACUGCUCUUUCUUACAUUAUUCUACAUUCAACUACAUCUCAAAUAAGUAUAACAGCUUAUGUAUCUUCGAAACAUCUAAAUGAAUAGUGACGGAUCACAGGCUAAAUUGAACAUCUCAGUUAAUAAGAACUUUUGCGCUAACAUUCAUAUCAAACUCAACAUACCAAUAUCUUCAACAUGUGAGAAUACUGGAAACAGUCACCACAUCGAUAAGUUGAACACGUGUUAGCACAAUCGACAAUAUGAAAAUCACUUGCUACUUUUAAUGAUGGAAAAGAACUGCAAAUAAAGUCCAAAGUAUGCAAAUCAUACCAUUGGGUACCAUAACGGAAACAAAGAAAAGUGAGCAUUCUAGUUAGUUCAUCACUCACGAGGCACAUUCAGCAAACUUUCCCAUAUUUUGGUUCUCCAGUAUAGCCAUAAUUAACUGCUUAUUCUCGUCCAAGUACUGCAUAAAGCAUAAAGCAUAAAUAAAACAUCAUCAUCUUAAAAUAAUAAUCAAAUUUGUGAUUUACAUUUCUCCUCAAAAAACUCUGAUUUACAUUCUCUCCAAUAUUAGACGUGGUACAAAGCAAUCAAAAGAAUUUGGCCAACGCUAAUAGCUUGUGAGUAGUGCUAUGACAAUUGAUAUAUUAAUAAAAUGUAACUGAGACCCACAUCAUAUGAAAUAAGGAGUUAAAGGAAACAUCACACAAAUAAAUUAAAACCCAAUACCAAAAGUUGAGAGGCCAGCCCCUGAAAAACAAAAGGGAAAUGUUGAAUCCCAGGGAACCAACAUUCCUUGGCAAAACUUGCUUCUUACUCAAACAGUAGUACUAUCCGAUUCAGAUGCUCCAUUUCUAUCAAACAAAUCCUUGAUCAGAAGGUUCACAAGUCUAAUCAGUUCUUUUUCUUUUGCAAAAUGGGUUAUAAUAAAAAUCGCUUCUUUUUUUAUUCAAAAAAAAAUCUAGACGUUCAACAGCAAAGAAUUAGGACUCAAUAAAUCAAGGAAAUACCAACUUCCAAUCAGAAAACAAUUAAGAGAAAAGGGAAAAAAAAAGUUUUCUGAAUUUAAAAACAAAAUCUAAACGAUAAAGGGAUCCUACCACAAUGCAUGCAAAAGCAAAACCCAUUAUACAAUAUAACCAAACACAAAAUCUACCUAUGUGUAAAAGAUAAAACCCAUUACACAGCAAAUGAGAAAUGUUGUUAAUACCUUUUGAAUCUGCUCAGUAGUAAUGUUGAGUGAAGGGUUCAACAUCUGUGGCUGUGGUGUCUGUUGCAUUCUUAACCUUCACAAACUAAAACCCAAGACCCACUAAAACCCUAACCCGACUCUUCUCUGUCUGCGAACGAGGAAGAAGAAAAACUAGACAGAAAGGAAAAAAAAACGUAUGGAUAGAUAGAAUCAGAUAGAGACCAGUGCAGUGUGACUGACUAUAUAGGAUACUCAAUUUUGGUAUAUUUUGAUUUUGGUCACUAAAAUUUAAUUUUUAUUUUAAAACUUUUCAAAUUUUAAUUAAAUUUUUAUUAAAUUUAUUCUUAUUUAUAAUUGUAGUUUUCAAAUUAAUAUGAAUUUUAAUUAAAAAAAAAUCUCCAUCUCCUAUUAUUUACUUUUUUUUUGUUAUAUAUUUUCUAUUUUUUUCUUUCUUAAAAAUAUAGAAUUUUCUUUUUUAAAAUAUAUAAAAAUUUUAGAAUUAUAUAAAAUUAUUAUAGCUAUCCAUAACAAAAAAAUAAAAAUAAUAAAAUAAUAAAAUAUUUUUUAUUGAUAUUACUUAUACAUUAAUUAAUAAAAAAAAUUAAAAAUAAUAUCUUCUUUUUAAUAAUCAUCGUUAUUGUAUUUUUUUAAUAACAUUAAAGGUAUAUAAUAUAUAGGUUUUAUUUUAUUCUAUUUUUUUAUAAUUUAUUAUUUUAAAGUAUUUUAAAUAUUAAAAUUUUAUUCUAUAAAAAUAGAAUAAUAAUUAUUUAAAAUUAAUUUUGUUAUAAAUAUAUAUAAAAUUAUGUGAAUAACUAUUUAAAAAAUAUCCAUUAAACUUUAAAAUAAAAUUAUUAUUGAUAAAUAAUUUAUUUUUAAUAAAAUUUUAUAUUAUUAUUUUAAACAUAAAAAUGUUAUAUAUUUAAAAUAAAUUAAUAAAUAAUAUACAUAAUAUAAUUAUUUAAAUGUGAAAAUUUCAUCCAUAAAAUUAUCUAAAUUAAUAUUUAAAAAUUAUUCAUUAAUAUUUAAAAUAAAAUUACGUUUAAUUAAUAUUUUAUUAUUAAUAAUUUUUUGUGUGAUUUAAAAAUAAAAUAUAAAAAUAUUAAUUAAAUUAUUAAAAUAAAAUAAUCAAUAAUUAAUAAAUUGUAUGAAUAAAUAUAUAAAAAAAUAAAAUAAAGAAAAAGAGAAUAAAAAUAGAAAAUAAAUAAUAAAAAAUAUUUGUUUUAUUUAUAUUAAUCUAAAAAUUUAUAUAAUAAAUAAAAAAGAGUUUAAUAAAAGUAAAUUAAAAUUUAAAAAACUAAAAAAAAAUAAAAUUGAAUGGUGAAAUUAAAAAUAUAUACAAAAAAUUGAAUAAUUUUGAAUGAAAAUUAUCUGUCAAAAAACUUUGCGGAAGCUCGCGGAAAAUAAACAAUCCAAGAAAUUUAAACGACGUCGUUCCUUCAAGCAAAUAACGGGUAAAGAACCAACCGUUUGUCAUGGCCAUUCUGUAGUGGUAUACUAAGCGGCGUCGUAUUAGGAAGAGGUAAAAGCGAAGCUAUGCGGAACCGUUUCUGCAUCGAAGAGAAGAGACAGAGAUAGAGACGGUGUGAAGAGAGAUGGGUUACGUAUUGAGGGUGAGAAUGGCGUCAUUCUUCGCCGGAGCAGCAACGGCGUCGCUUCUGGGAUUCUACGUUCUUUACAAGGAUUACAAGGUUGCCCAUGAAUCCAUUUCUCAACAGGUUAGUACCCAAGAAGAAAAAUAGAAAACCCAUACUUUCUCUGCUCUUUUUGUUUUUAAUCCUCAAACAUCUGGAGAAAACAUUAAUAGACUAAUAUUUAGGAUGUGGGGUUUUUGGAUUUUUCUUGUUAUUUCGCUUUUGAAAACGUAAGCAAGUACUUUUACCUUGUGAUCCAAAGUUAACUUAUCAAUUUUAUUGUUUCAAAAUAAUAAUAGAACCUGUCGAUUCUGUUGGGUUAUUAAUGGAUUUCAAUUUCUAGAGAUGUAUUUAACUUGGUGGAAGAUUUCUUUUGUAUUGGUUCAACAAGAAAAGUUAAGGUAAACCCAGAAUCAUAGUUGUAGACUGGUAGUUUUUGUUUUUAAAUAUAUGUUUUCCCCUUGUAGUAUAGUUUAGGCAUUUGAGCUAUUCUUGUUGGGAGUGAUCGUUGCCUUGUGCACGUUUAGCCAGCAGAAAUGAGGGUAGGCUUUAGGUUAGGGUGAGGCGUUGAAUGGAUUGUUUGUAAUGUGGACGAAUUGGAUGAAUUUGGUGAAGAAAUGUGGAGAUUUGAGAAACCUCAACAAAAGUGAACUGUUUUGUGGAAUUCUUCUGAGCCACAUUGCUUGAUCUUAUGUGCUUUUUUAUGUCUGAACAGAAAGCCCAUUUCUUUCAAGUUUUAAUGUCUAUGCUCAAUUCCUGCUUUGAUUUAUUUGAACUUAGUAUGCUUGCUGAUGAUAUUUGAGUUUGUUUUCCCCCUUUUUCUGUGGGGUUAAUCCACUUAAGUUAUGGAUCUUCUUGCUGCAAUCUUGUUUUCUGACUUAAUGUCUGAUGGCGUUUCUUGUAGCCGCCUAGGGAAACUCUAUAAGUUACAGCCUAUGUUUUGCUUGGCUUAAUUACUAUGCAUGUAAAUGCCGAAUAUUUUAUGGGGCAAUUUGAUUUUUUUGGUCUCUUAUUCAUUUUCAUCAUAAAAUAUUUACAAUUAGUUAUAGGCAAAGACACACAUGAGUAGACUUCAGCAUUCACAAAUCAACUUGAAGGUGGCAUUGUCUAUUUGGAUGACGAUAAGGAAUUUAGUAAACUGGGCUCUCUGUGCUGGUGAGAUUGGCAAUGAAAAUGUGGUCCAAUUUUAUUGCUUUCUAGUGGUUAUGUAACAAAUUUUGCCUCUUUCCAUUCCAUGGUCAAUCUUUUUCAUUGACACGGUAAUCCCACUACAUAUAUUUACAAGGUUGCUUUGUUUUUUUUUUGUAUGGCGACAGAUCCAAUGUUGCAUCUCUUUGUAUUUCUCAUAUAUCUAUCUUUCUCUGUCUAUAAUUCAUGUGAGUGUUUAUCUCUAUAUGUUGCUCAUUCAGAUAGGGUAUGAUAUAUUUGGUAGGAUGGAAUCCUGGCAUUGUUUGAUGAGAAUUAUAUGUUGCCCCAUUUGAAUUAGGACCUAAAUAUUAUGUGCUAAUACGUUGCCUGCUAUCUAGCCCCACAUAAGUGCAGGUGUAUUUGAUUUCUCCUUGCUACAUGAAGAGUGAGAUAAUUGACUGAGAACAGAAACCCAUUAUUAUUUGAAUGUUAAUGUCGACUUCUUUUUUUAUUUUUUAUCAAUUGAAUAAUGAGAAUGCAGUAUUUUUGACAACCUGAACCAUGUCUCCAAGGGUAGGACUUUGAUUCCCUCCUUUAAGGGUUCCCCACAUUUUUAAGGCUAUAUUGGGUUAGGUAUUUAUCUCAAUGGAUGAGGGCACAUGGAUGGUCUUUUUGUGUGCAUGGAGAAGCAUCAAUAUGGUACUUAUUUUGUUUUAUCUUUGAUCAGGUGAAAGGCCUACAUGAUUCCCUGGAUACAAGGAUCUCUGCUUUGGAAACACUGAAACAAACUGAAGCUUCUCAACCUGCGCAGGCAACAGAGUAGAUGUCUUGGGGCAUUCUACUAGUUCUCACCUCAAACAUGUUUUUUCUAUUUAUGCAAUCAAUUUCCAUGUAGUUUUUCCCCCAUCUUAAAAAAUAAUUAUUACUUGAGAUUCCCUGUAUGAAUUGCAACAAUCAGUUGACAAGAUCAACCUGAAAACACGAGUUUGCACUUUUUCUGUUGGUCGAGUGCUGCAUUCAAGCGUUGAAGAUUUUCAAAUUUGUAUGCUGUGGUGUAAUUGCCAGGAGUUGGGAGUUGCACCAUGUCAUUGAAUCUAGCCAUGGCUGGUUAUUAGUUUGGUGCAUAUAGAACUCCAUGAGAACAAAUUUUGGGUGGCAGAUAACUGGACUUCAAAUAAAUUUAGGUUCUUUGAAAAAAAUAUUCAUGUUGGAUUCAUAUUUUGUGUCAGGUAUUCGCUAUCUAAUUGGUUUAUAUAAAUAAUUUAUAAACAGAAAAUAUAUUUCAUAAUAAAAUUUAUAAUCUUUGAAUACUAUAUUUAAAAAUAUAUAAAUCAUUAAUAUAUUGUGGUGUUCGGAUAAUGAUUAUCAACUUAAAUAAGUUUGGAAAUUGAAAUUAUUAAUCAGGUUGGGAAUUGGGAUGGUGUACAUGUGGAGUAGUGGAAGAAUUAAAAUGCAAAAUAUAGAAAUAGUGAAGGAUUAAAGUGUAAUUUGGCUAACCCCCCUAAAGGACUUUCAUAAUUAUCCCAAGAUCCUGUAAAGUAACGCUAGGAGCCUCAAAUUCUAACCUGUUUUGAUACAGACAAAACAUCAAGCCUGGAUCACAUGGUAUGCGUCAUUCAUCCCCAAGGUCGUAAGAUUAUGACAGGUUUGCUUAUUCAUUCCAAGGACUGAUACUAUGAGAGAAGAUAAGAUCAUUAAAGAUAUUGAUGGCAACUGAACUUGAAAAGAAAUAGUUACAAUAUCUCUAGGCAUUUUACUUUCAUCAAUUCAUAAUUUGUCAUCUAACAUCUUCCUGUUCUGCAGUGGAAAUCACCUCAGUGACAACCAAAAACUUCUGGGUUUUUUCUAUUAUUUACACAUGUUUCAUGUCAAUUGUUCAACUUGAUAAGAGAAACUACCAUGUCUCUCAUGGAGGGUCUCACAUCAGGCAUUGGUUCAGUGCAUUCAAGCCCCAAUUCUAACAAUCUCAAAGCCUUUUGCUGCUCAUCUAUUUCCCACAAACUGAUUUGCUCAUCCAGGAAACAAAUGUACUCAUCAUUUUCUUGCAGCUUCUUCCUUGUCCAGGCGACAAUAUCCUGAUCUUCUUCAAAGCUGGGGUCUACUGGCAAUUUUCUGCAGAGAAGCUCAAGUAAAAUGACUCCAUAGCUGUAUACAUCAACUUUCUCCGUCAAUCGGGUGGCAUAUGCAUUUUCUGAAUUGUGGAUAAGGAGCAAGAAGAGACCAUUUUAGAACUUAAGCUUCUACCUUGAAAAUCUAACAUAAUGAAGUAAAAGCAUAGUUUAAUAUAGUAGAAUGCAGUGUACCUGGUGCAAUGUAACCCAAUGUUCCUACAACUGAAGACCUUGUGCUCAAAUCAGAUUCAGAACCAAGGAUCAAUCUUGCCAUCCCGAAAUCUCCAAUCUUUGGUUCCAUUUCGGAAUCCAUCAAAAUGUUAUCUGAUUUAACAUCUCUAUGAAUAAUCUGUGGCAGACAGUCAUGGUGAAGGUAAGAAAGGCCUUGAGCAAUUCCAAGAGCAAUCCGAUAUCUGGUUUCCCAGUCCAAAACCAAGCGAGGUUCGUGUUCGUGCAGGAUAUUGAAAAGUGUUCCUUCAGGCAUGUAUUCAGUAACAAUGAAUCCAUAUCCAUCUUUGAUGCAGUAACCAGCCAUUCUAAUUAUAUUUCGGUGCCUUACCAAGCUCAAGGUUCUCAUUUCAAGGCUAAAGUUUGUCUCGGAUAAAUUCACCUUCUUGACAGCCCAAUGCUUCCUGGUGUUCAUAGAUUCUGUCCGGUAAACUGUCCCAUGCUUCCCCCUCCCUAUUACAUACUUCUCGUUCCAGCCUUCAGUAGCACGCAUUAUAUCUUCAAAUUUCAAUUCUUCUGGUAAAUCUUGUGUCACCGAUUGACUUUCAUGAAGUGAUUGAUCACGGUGGUAUUUUUGCUGAAGGCCUCGAACCAGUAUAACAUAAAUCAGAACACAAAGCAAUGAUACAGAAACAACUGCCCCAACAACUAUAGCAGCCAGCUGAUACCUUCUUGUAUGGCCAUCUCUAGCUUCUCCACAGUAUCUUGCAUCACUACCUAGCAAACAAAGUUCAGGAUUUCCAAGGAAAGACCCUGGAUAUGAAACCAUUAUUUUCAUCCAUGUAGCUGGGAGUUUCCCUGAGAGUUGAUUGAAUGAUACGUUUACAAAGUAAAGAGAGAUCAUGUCGUUCAGUACUGCCGGUAUCUCACCAGAGAAACCAUUGCUUGAGAGAUCAAGAAUCUGUAACUUGUCUAGAUUGCCAAGGCAGCCAGGGAUUUGACCAGAGAGCUUGUUAUGGCUCAAAUUAAGAACUGAACUAAAAUGCUUAAGAUUACUCAAACUACAGGGAAUAGGACCUUCGAGCUUGUUAUCAGAAAGCUGCAACUCAAAGAGAUUUUGAAGGGAAGCAAAAAUGUCCGGAAUUACUCCACUAAGUUUGUUCUCUUGAAGGAGAAGGCUUUGUAAUUUUACCCAUGAAGUAAUCUCCGUAGGAAUUUUCCCUGAGAGCUCAUUCUUACUUAGGUCCACUUUAAUCAACUUUCUGCAACUACCAAUGUCAGAGGGAAUAUUCCCUGUCAGUCUAUUAGAAGCAACUCUUAAGAUUUGAAGAUUUUCAAGCUUUCCAAGCUCAGCAGGUAUAGCACCAGAUAGCCUAUUUUCUGAAAAAUCAAUCAUUGUUAGAUUGCUCCAAUGACCAAAUACUGGAGGUAUGUUCCCUUCGAGCAAGUUUCCGCGAACCACUAGAAACGAAACCCCAGAAUUCCUUUCCAAAUCGGCUGGUAUACUCCCUUGCAGAAGGUUGUUACUAAUAACCACCCUCCUAAGGGACGAACAUGUUCCAAAAACAGUUGGAAAACUUCCAUUAAACUUGUUAUCCCCAAGGGCUAGAACUGAAAGAUUAUUGCCAUUGCAUAUGGUAGAAGGAAUUGGUCCAUAGAGGUGGUUACCAGUUAGAUCCAGUUUAACUAGACCUGGAGAACUUUUCCCAAUAUCAGAAGGUAACUCUCCAAUAAGAUUAUUAUGAGCUAAUGAAAGAAAGUUGAGUUUUUUCAAAUGGGCAAUUUCUGAAGGGAUUCUUCCAGAUAAACUGUUGUUAUACAUGGCCAAUUGGACAAGGUUACUCAUUCUUCCUAUCUGCCAGGGAAUGUGGCCUCGAAUUCGAUUAUUGAACAUAAAAAGAACCUCAAGAUUCUCAAGAUUACAAAUUUCAGGAGGGAUAUUCCCACCAAUGAAGUUAUUCUGAAUCCUGAGUUCAGCAAGUGAAGUGCAAUUUCCAAGCUCAGGAGGCAAUGAGCCAUUAAGCUUGUUAUCAAAGAGAAAUAGACUGUUCAGAUGUUUUAGAUUUCCAAUUGACGGAGGAAUCUGGCCAACUAGAUUAUUACCAGAAAGAGCAACAACAGUUAUCUCAGAGCACUGACCUAUCUUCUCAGAUAUGGUACCAUUGAGCUUGUUCCCUGAAAGAACAAGCUCUUGCAAAUUUUCAAGACCCCAUAAAGUUUCUGGAAUCUCCCCUUCAAAUUUGUUAUCAUCAAGAUAAAGAAUUUCAAGUUGCAAAAGACUCUUGAAAAUCUCUGGUACAAUGACACUUUCAAAUUUGUUUUGAGAUGCUAUAAACACGGUAAGAUUUCGGCAGUUACUAAGAGAAAGAGGCAAAGACCCAGAAAAUGCAUUCCCAUGAAUCCAAAGAUCAUUGAUUGCACAAGAAGGUGAGAAAUCUGAUAAUGACCCAGUUAAGUUAUUUGUGUUCAGAUACAGAAACUUCAAUUUUGGCAGUGAAAAUACUUCACUUGGAACCUCACCACUCAAAUAAUUGUUAUAGAAUCCUAUGUAUUCAAGCUUGUAGCAAAAGCUUACCUCAGGAGGAAUAUUACCAGAAAGAGAAUUAUAACCCAAGUCCACCCGUAAAAGCUGCUUUGAUUGAAAAAGCUCAGAAGGAAUCAAACCUUCAAAACCAUUGUCAUUUAGAAUAAUGGUAUUCAAAUUUCCACAAUUUCCAAGCAACUGGGGAAUAACACCAGUGAAAUUGUUUCCACUGAGGUCAAGAGAGACCAAAUGUUUAUGGAGGCAGAGAUAAGAAACAGAGUUGCUCAAGAUCCCAGAUAGACCAAACCCAGAAAGAUUCAAGGCCUUAACUUUAAAGUUCUUGGUGGAAUAGCAAGUGAUUCCGGGCCAAUGGCAAGGAGAAGAAAGUGAAUUUGAAAAAUUCCAUGGCAAGAGCUGCUGAGAAUGUGGAGGAAGACUGUCACGAAACUGCAGAAGAUAAAUUGCAGAGGGAGGCAAUGAGAGCGAAGAGGAUAGAAAAGGGAUAAGAGAGAUGAAGACAAAAUAUGGAAACAGCAAGAACAUGGUAAAGGAUUUUGUUGCUAAACAUGGCAAGGGAAGUGUGACAUGUUUUGUUUUGAUUUUCUAGAUUGGUUUAGAAAUUAUUUGUUGCAUCAGCCAUUUGUGGGUUGAACAAAAAUAUCUCCAAAUGGAGGUUUUCUGGGUGCUGCUGCCUGCUUCUGCUGUCUACUAACUGCAUUCUGAUUUUGUUCUUUUGCUGCUUUUGAGGAAGCGGUGCUUUGGAAGUGGAGAUGGGCUAUUAGCCUAUGUAAAAAAUAUAUAUAUAUAUUUUAAAAAUUUUUAAAAAUUUAAUAAGAUUUUAUCUAUAUUUUUAAAGAAAAAUUACUUUUUAGUCCCUGAGAUUUAACGUAAUUAACACUUCUGUCCAUCUAUUUUGGCGACCCAACACUUAAGUCCCUCACUUUCUCUUCCGUCCAAAUUCGUAGUCCUUCCGUAUAUUUAAACCGUUUGGUCAAAGAGUUAAAAGUGAGAGGUGAUAAUUUUUUCCAAAAAUACCCUUCUCUCAAUGUGAAAUUCCUAUUUUUUUUUUCUUUCAUGUUUUCUUCAGUUGAAGAAAAAGAAGAAGAAAAAGAAGAAAAAGAAGAAGAAAAGAAGAAGAAGAAGAAGAAGUUGCAGAAAGGGUAGAAAGAAGAAGAAGAUGAGGCAUUUGGGUUUGAGUUUAGUGAGGAUUAAUUUUGUCAAUUCCCAUAUCCCAAACGGCUAUUUUGGAUGGAAGGACUACGAAUUUGGACAGAAAAUAAAGUGAGGGACUUAAGUGUUGGGUCGUCAAAAUAGAGGGACAGAAGUGUUAAUUAUGUUAAAUUUCAGAAACUAAAAAGUAAUUUUUCUAUUUUUAAUAAAAUUGUUAAAAGUAUAAAUUAUAUUUUAUUUAAAUUAUAUUUAUUUGUAAAAAAAGAAAAAAAAAAUCUUACCCAUAUUUUUUAUGAUGGUCAAAUAUUAAAUAAGCUUACAACUUUACAUUUAAAUCUAAAAACAUUUUAAUUUAUUAAAAUAUUAAUUUUAAGAAAUUUUUAAAUUGUAAUUCUUUUUUAUUUUAAUAAAAAAUAAUAUAUAAGUUUUUAAUAUUUAAACAUUACAUAAAUAAUAUUUUAUUAUUGAAUAUAACAUUUUAUUAUAUUAGAAUAUAUUUACCAUUCAAUCUAAAGUUGUGAGUCUAUUUAAUUAAAAAAUUAAAAAUAAAUUUAUUUAUCUUUUGAUAAAAUAUGAAGGUAAAGGUAAAACUUAUUUUCUUAUGAAAAAUGCUUAUAUCGUUAAAAAAAAUAAAAAAUUUACAUAAUAAUAUAUUUUUAUUGAAUAAUUUAAAAAUAAAAAGUAUUAAUAAAUUUAUAUAUAAAAUAAAUUUUAUUAUCAAAUUUCAAAAUAUCUCUUUUAAAAGAAAGAAAAUUAUUUUCAUAAAAUUGAAUAAAAAGAAAAUUAUUUUUAUUAAAUGACUUUAUUUUCAAUUUAAGUAGAAAAAUAUUUUUUGUAACAAAGGAUAACUUUAUUUUUAAUAAAAAAAUUUCAAUUAACAAUUUUUUAAGUGGUUUAAAAAUUAAAAAAUAGUUCUCAAAUAAUAUUUUUAUAAAAAAAUGGAAUUUAAUAAAAGAAAAAGCAAACCCAAUAGGAUUAAAAAUAAAUUAUUAUUUAGUCUUUUUUAUAAUAUAAUAUUUGUAUUUUAAAAUAUAUAAUUUAUCUUUUUAUCAUUAACUUUGUUAAUAAUUUUAUUUUCUUUUAACUUUUAAUUAAUGAAUUGAAAAGCAAUCACUCAGACAUAACAUUUAAGAAUAAAAAUAUUCAUAAAGAUAAUCUUUUGAAAUAUAAAAUUAAAAUAAUUAAUUUCAAAACUAAAUAAUAAUUUUUACACUUGGAUUCGAAGAAAAGAUAUAGCUGCCGUGCAAGGAUUACUUCAAGUUGGGGAAGAAUGAUGUUGCUCACUGCUCACCAUAGGAUUAAUCACAUGCUUAUGGGCCAUUGCCAUUUGCCAAUUAGUAUUUAUUGGUCUGUUUUUAUUUCUAUGAAUUUAUUAAAAUAUUUAAUUUUUACUUUAUAUUUAUUACCAAUUAGUAUCAACUGCAUUUUUUUUUUAUUGUGUUUCUCCACGACUUUUAAAUGGGAUUGUGAAUAAAUACAUUUUUGUUGACUGAUCGAUGACUAUUUAAGAGAUUUUUUAAAAUUUAUCUUCCCUUUUUCUUUAUUGCAGUUUAGUUGUGCAUGGUAGACUUUCCUUUAUCUUUCUAUGAAUUGUGGUUAAAUUUUAGAAUUUCAUUUUUUUUCUGAUAUAUAAGACACUAAUUGUUGGGUCCUAGAAUUUUAAAGUCCUAGAAUUUUAAGGAUCAAAACUGUAACUUUUUAACAGUGAAAUUUUCGGAAAAUAAUAUUGGAAUAAAUUAAUGUAAAAUAUAAGUAAGUUAAGGGUCUAUGGAAAUUCUGAGUUGUGCCUUCACUCCUUGUAGACCGUCUCCCUAUCUACAAGGGAGGUAAGAAGUAUUGUAACGAUUGUGUUGAUGGUAAUGUAUAAUUAUUAUUUUGCCAUUGGAAUAAAAUAAGUAGUGUGUUCAUGAAUUCUCGUGUUUAGUGCUUAUCUCUUGUGUCUAUCGGGAGGCUUCUGAUUGGAUGAUGCCUGUAGGCUUCGUUCUUCGUUUAUAUAAUCUUGACUAAUCAGGGUAUUUAUGUUCACAAGGUAUCGAGUAAUUCUUAAGUCUAGCUUGGCCAGAAGGUGUUCAAGCCAAGUGUCGCACGGUCCCAAUUGGGUGUUGAAAUGCGGGCCUGUGACAGUUCGUAUCAGAGUUUGAACAAUCUACAAGCAAUGUGGAAGUAUGAUGAAGUUGGUCGUAUGCAUUGAUGCCCUUGGGAGGAGGGUGGAUGAUCUUGCCCCAUUGUCUAAUACAUUUGCCACCCAAAAAGGGAUGGCAUGAGAGAUUGUUUCUGUUUGCCUGCGCAUGGUGGUGCUAGAAGAGAAAAUUGAGCAAUUAUUGGCUGUGAUAGGCAAAUUGUCCAGACGUGAGGGGGAGCCCACGAUGGUGGAGCCAACCCAAAAUCCAGCUUCUCGAAAUGGCACUUGGUAAGGUGAUCUUGAGACAAAAGUGAAUAAGAAUGAGGCAGUGGCCUCCUGAGAUAGAAUUGAGGCAGUGGUCUCUUUAAAUAAAAUUGAGACAGUGGCCUCCCUGAAUAAAACUGAGUAGUGGCCUCCUUGAACAAAAUUGAGGUAGUAGCCUCCGGUGUAUUCUGCUAGAAUUGUACCGCAACGUUGAAUUCGAUAUGGGAGAAGCCUAUGGGGAUCACUCUAGAGAUGAACUGGAGGAUCAAAUAGCAAUGACGAGAGUUGUAGUCUAGUUCCUAUGAGAGGGCUGAUGAAGCAAGCCCAGCUGAAACCAAUGGUAAAAUUUGCUAGCUAAUAUUAAGAUGGAUGCCUAUGAGGUAGGCAAUAUUGAAGGUCUAGAAAAAUAAAUAUUGGCGCGAUGCAAGAGAUGUGUUGGAGGUAAGUGAUUUCCUCUCCAUUAUAAAUUUAUUUUCUUUGGUGCUAUUGAAGAUUGUUGUGUAGAUAGGUUGAAAGUUGUAUCCAUAUGUUGGAUCAACAAGACUUUCCGAUAUAGGAAGCUAAAAGGAAGAUUUUAUGGAAUGGGAUAUAUAACUUAUACCCACGAGAUAGCGAAGAGGAUAUGUAGAUGCAAUUUUACUCUAAGAACGUGACAUUUAAUCCUCGAGGGAGUUGGUAAACUCUAAUAUUGAGUUCAUAAGUAAAAGUAUGCAAGUGACAUUUUCAUAUCUCGUUGGUAACAUAAAUAUGUGUUGGAGCUUAUUGGAUUAGAUGAUUUUAGAGAUGGUUGAACCCUGAGACAAAGAAUGAGUGUUAAAGAAAUGUAAAGAAGGAUUGUACAGUGCUAGUGACAAUUAAAAAUUAGUCAGUUAGGCUAACACGGAGUCGAAGAGAAGUUCAACUCUCGACAUCUCAUUAUGAGCACAAUCCAGACAGAGGAGUUAAAGCGAUAAGUGGAGGAGCCACCAAAAGUGUCAAACAUGAUAUAAGGCAUAAUAUGUGUUAAUCAGAACAAGCUGGAGCGAAGGUGAUAAAGGAAAAUUUAGUAAACAAAACAUUAUGAAGGUAAAAUCGUUAAGUAUUGUGAAAUGUUCUUCAUGGAAAAGCUGCAUUAGGUUCCAAAUUGCCUAUGUAGAAGUGCUUCAAGAGGAAGAAAAGACCUUGUAGAGAAAUAGAGGGAAACUCGAUAGGGAGAAAACAUAUAAUAGGAAUCAAAGGGUUAUUCAAUGUGGAUGGCUUAUGCAUUCUUGUGUUCUCAGAAUAGUGUUAUUUGCGUAUAAGAAUACAUCGAACUGCUAAUAUUGAUGAGGGUGGAGCAGUAAAGGCUUUCACAAACAUUAUAAUUAUAUAUAAUCCUAGGAGUGAUACGAUAGCUAUAAUGCUUAUAUAAAAGGGAUGAAAAAAAAAAAAUAUAUAUAUAUAUAUAUAUAUAUAUAUAUAAGAGUUGAAAUGAGCUUGUGAGAAGAUUGAGUUAUGUAGAUACGAGUAUCAAGGUAAAAGUAAUAGAGGCAGUUGCAGGUACUAAGGUCGUUGACCAAUGUGCCAUGGGUACAGUCACAUCAAAGCCAAGAUUAAGGGUGCAAUAAGAUAAAGUAAGAGAAAAUGAUGUAGUCAAACUCGAUACAUUGAGCAUUGUGAUAGGUCCUUGAGGUAUCCAUUCAAUUGGAGACUUAGAAAGGUGAAAUAAAUUUGAUGAGAACCCUCUUAAUGGUUUGAGGUGUUAACAACAGUGGAUCUUUACAAGGACUACAAAGGUGAUCUCCAUUCCAAUUAGGGAAGAUCCUGUUAAUGGAGAGAGUGUUUGGCAUGGAGUAAGAAGAGCAUAGUUAAUGCAUGCUUACAUCAAUAGUGGCUAUUCAACACAAGUAGAUCAAAAGUAAGCUUAACAUCGAUUAUCAACGUGUAAGGCUGAACAUUGGUAUUGCUAGUUUCUGAGUAAAUUUAUUAUUUUCUUAUUAUAGUUUCCUUUUGUAAAACAAUAUAAGCUUGAUUUGUAAAACAAUAUAAGCUUGAUACUUAACUUGUGCACAAAUUUGUUUCCUUAUGGUUGACAUAUUUAGCAAUAAAGUGGUAUUGGUGCUAAAGUGAAAUUUCUAUACCAAGGGAGAGCUCGGGUUACUAACUUUAAAAAAGGUAGAAAAUGGGGGACAAAGAAGGAAGAAUGGUGUUAUACAAUGACAAUCAGAGACAUGGUUUUCUAUCUAACCAAUGCGAACCGAGAAGCAGAACGAGUGCGAAAUUCCAAGAGAGGGAUUAUUGUAAAUAUCUCUUGAAUUUCUUGUAAUGUUAUAUAAGACCAAUUAUUUUGCAUGUCUUUGUGUGGUGAGAAAUCAGAUUCCUUGUGACCUACUUGAUGAAUUUAUAGUAAUUGAAGGUAAGAACAUAAUAUGUUUUCUGGCUGUUUCAAAUUGAGUUUGUGUCCCUUAGAUAAACAGAGAAGAGAAUGCUACUAUUGUUCAUGUGUAAAUCAACUUAUUGAAACUUAUAAUCAAGUACAAAAAGAAUUCAAGAAUACCAACGUAGAAAAGUACUGCGAAGGAAUAAGAGGCAAUUAAGGAUAAAAGAGUAUCGAAUAAUGUGUGCCAGUGACUAAGCAAUCAUGAUGGUGGAAAACAUGUUUACUUUUCAAAGAGUUAAAAGCAACCUUUCAAGUUGCAGUAGAAAGAAGCUCGUGUAAAUUUGGAGGAGGCGGAAGAUAGGAGGAUCAUCAUGCCGAUUAAAGUUUGGUUUCUACUCGGGGCGAUACCUAGGAAAAAUGUCAAAGGAGCUACAAAUGAAUCAAGUAUCAAUGGAAAACCACAAUUGCGACAAAGCUAAGAAAUCACACGAUGAAUAACAAAAUAAAAAUAGAAGAUAAUUAGAGAACAACGCAAGAUAUGACCUUGGAGCUAGACAACAAAAGUGUGGUAUCCAAGGUGGUGAUCAUUAGUAAAGUCCUAGAGGUAACUUAGAGUGAUAAAAUGGUAAUGUGAAGGAACCAUCAACCUCUAAUCUGGUAUAAUGUUUCCUAAAUUUCUUGACACAUUUCAUUACAUAAAUUGUUCUUGGAUAUUUUGAUAGUUUUUAGUUGAGUUCUUUGUGUGAGGGACUCGAGAAAAUUUGAACUAACCGAUAUUGAUCACAUAUAUUGUGUAGCUAUCUGUAAGGAAGGAAAUGGAGUAUAACAUGGUUUUGUUAGAAUUUAGUUGGGUUUCAAUCAAGUGUUGAAUAAGGCAUAAAACCCAUGAGACCAACUGAGAUAAAAGAAGGGCGCCAACACAAAAGAAUGUCAAAGAGGAUUAAGGAACAUACUUGUAACUUGAGACCAAUGGUUAUGGGGUUGCCACUGGCAGAACAAAGGAAGUGUCUCUUAUCAAUUCAUUAUUGUUGAGUUAAAAUAGUGUUGUUAUUUGUUUUGGAUAACAUGUUUAAGUAAUUAUUAUCUUAGGAGGCUAAUGACAUAUCUUAGGAGAUUAAUGAUAUUUCUUAUGAGACUAUUACAAAUAUAAAGAAGAAAGACUAUCAACACUUAAGGAAUAGGCAUAACAGGACGUAUGAAGGAGGAAACAGGGUAAAUCAACGUCAAAUCUAGCUAUACAGAUUUCUUAUGGCGUAGUGCGUGUGGAUGAGAUGAGAACAUCCUGCAAUAGAGAUUUCACAAACCUAGUCAUCACUGAGAACCAACAGUCAACAGAGUUCAGUGCAUAAUUUCAAAUAGAGGAUUGAAGUAUCCACCUCCAAACACAUUUGCAGAAGAUUGUGACACUAAAGAAUAGAGCAUCUAAGACCAAGUGUUCGAUCAAAUAUCAAUUUUUGUGCAAACAACAUACAAAAGAACCUAUGACAGCAACUCCAAAUGUGAUAAAGAAUUAAGUGUCCAAGCAGAAGAUUGAAGAGCUCCGAGAAGUUUAGUCGACAAGGACGUCGACCAUUUAAGUGGGGGUGAGUGUUAGGGUCCUAAAUUUUCAGGGACCAAAACUAUAAUUUUUCAAUAGUAGAGUUUUCAAAAAAUAAUAUUGAGAUAAAUUAGUGUAAAAUAGAAGUAAGUUAAGGGUCGUGUCAGAUUUCUAUAAUUCCCUUUAGAUUAUUUAUUUAGAGGGAUGUGUCAUUUGAGACAUAUUGAUAUCUCCUCCUGCCACAAGCCAAGUUGUUCUUAAGACUCUUUAAGGGGGAGUGACUAGUCGGCCACCAGCAGGGGCCGGGCCCAGUUGGCUACUGUAGGCCUACGAAAAUCCUGAGUCGUGCCUUCACCUCUUGUAGACCGUCUCCCUGUCUACAAGAGAGGUGAGAAUUAUUGUAACGAUUGUGUUGAUGAUAAUGUAUAAUUAUUAUUUUGCCCUUUGAAUAAAAUAAGCAGUCUGUUCAUGAAUUCUCGUGUUUAGUUCUUAUCUCUUGUACUUACUGUGAGAUUUUUGAUUGGAUGCUACUUGUGGACUUUGUUGUUCGCUUAUAUAAUCUUGACUAAUAAGGGUAUUCAUGUUUAUAGGAUAUCAAGUGAUUCUUAAGGUUGACUUGACUUGAAAGUGUUCAAGCCAAGUGUCGCACAGUCCCAACUAGAUGUUGAAAUGCGAGCCCAUGACACUAAUACUAUCCAUAAUGUUUUUUAGAUAAUUAGUCUCUCAAAGAUUGAAAGAAUUAAUGAGUUUUGUUCACUGGUUGUCGUUCUUGUUGACUCAAACCAUUUUACUCUAUAUAUGUUGUUUUAUUCUUUAGCUCGAGAAGUUAUUGUUUGUUAAGAAACUUCGUUUCUACUUUGAAGAUCUAGUUUUCUCUAAAUCUCCUUAUCGCUCUAAUAGUAUUAAAUGGGAAUUAACUUUAACAAAAAACAUUACAUUUCUCAUGUUUGAAACACAUUUACAUUUAUUCAUUUAAUAUAGUACUUUUUAAUAUAAAUAAAAACUUUUCACAAUAAUAAAAAGAAUAUAAUAUUUUUGAUGAUUUAAUUUUUAUGUUUGAAGUUAUUUAUAAAAUUUUCCUUUAAUUGUAAAAUUAUUUAUUCAAUUAGUUAUAUAAAUUUUUAGAACAUUGUUCAAAGGUUCCUACUAGAUUUGUUUUUAAUUAUUAAAAUUUAACAUGAUAUUUUUAUCUUUUAUAUUUUUUAAGUAAAUCAAAUAGUAAAAUAAAAAAACCUUUGUGAGUGAAGAAAAUUACUAACUGAAAAAUAUGCUUUAGAGUUAAAAUGAUUUUCAUAAAAAUUAUGAGAAUUAAUAAAGAUUUUAUUAUUAAUAAUAAAAACGAUAAAAAUACUUUAUAAAUUAAGCAUCCAUAAAAAACAAGUUUGAAGUGUUUAAAACCUUUCUAUUAAGUAUUUAAAAAGCUUUUGUAAUUAAAAAAUAAUUUUACAACAAUAAAAAAUAAAUAAUAAAAUAUUUAAUAUUUAAUUAAUUUAAUUAAUUUUUUACGUUUUAAUUAAUAAAAUUUUUUGUAUUAGUAUAAUUAAAUAGUAAUUUUUUAUUUUAAGUAAAAAAAUAUUUUUUAUUAUUGUCUGAACUGAUAAGCGGGCCCAUUGAAUGAUUUUGUUGAGGAUAAGAUCUUCUCUUCUCAGCGGCUGCACCCUCUCUGGACAUAUGGUCACAGUCAAGUAGACAAGGGUUGGUGCGGGUUUGAAUUUGAAAUUGCUUAAAACUUUGGGUUUGACUAGAAUAUUAUAAAUUGAAUUAGAUUAAUUCAAAUUUAAUUUUAGUUAAAAAUAAAAAAUUUCCUUUGAAAAAUUGAAAUAUUAAUUACUAAAAUUAUAUUAAAUUAAAUAAAUCAAAUUAAAAUUGCAAUAAAUCUUUUAAUUUGAUUUUAAUAUAUAACUUUGUACACAAUUCUUGAGUUAUUCUUAUAUAUUGAGAAUAAAAAAAAAUACCAUACAAAUCACAAUAUAUUAUAUAUUUAUUAUUUUAAUUUGAUUAUUUCUUCAUUAGUUAUUAUCUAAAGCACAUACUAUUUAUAAAAUAUAUUUAUAAAAUAUAUUUUAAAUGUUAGUUAUUAUGACUGCUGCAUUUGGAUCACAAUCGAAUUCUUAUAAAAGAGUUAAAGCCAAGAUAUAUAAGAAUUUAUUAUGCAUACUGAACCAUUAGCAUACAAUUCUAUUUGUGGUUUCAAACAUCUUGAUCUUAUUAAAUUCAUAAGAAAAUCCACAAGAGAGGGAUAGGUCAGAGUCUCAUGACAAUUUAACACACUGAAACAUGAUUAUGGUUUGAAAUGUUGAAAUCCGGCUUAUUUGAUUGGAUGGAUCAAUAGGACUACAUACUGCUAUGUAUUUAGAAUUAAACCCAUGUAAGUAUACGAAUAAAAUAAAUAAUUAUUUUGUAAUGAAAAAAAAUAUCCAUACGUACGGCCUAAUAUAAUGAGAACAAGCCGUUAGAAGAUAAAAAAAGAUAUGUGAAAGAAAAAAGGAAAGUAGAGACCGACUUUUUGAAAAAAAUUUAUUUUUUCUUAGAUUUUAGAUUAUUAAUUAUAUAUUUAUUUAAUUAAUAAAUUACAUAAUUAAAAAAAUAUAGAUAAUAAUAUUAUUAUUAGUGCAAUUUUAAUUUUAUUAUAAGCAUAAUAAUAUUAUAAUUUUGUGUUAAAGUUAAUAUUCAAAUUGAAAUUAAAAUAAAUUUGAAACAAUAAACAAAUGUACUAAAAUUAUUUAAUAUUUAAAAAUUAAAGAAUUGAAAAUAUAAUUCAAUUUCAUAAUUAAAACCAAUAAAAAUCGAAAUUCAACACGGCAACACCUUUAAUUUCGUUUGAAAUUAAAGUGCAUCUAUGUCGCUGCACCGCAUGUCGGAAGCGGUGCAAUCGGUUAUGCCUUUUGAAACAUUUGACAUUUGAUAUUAUAACGAGACAAAAAGUACUUUGCUAACCCCUCAUAGAUUGGGGGUUAAAUGGAAUACGCUAGAUUCAUAUACGGGUGAGCAGUAUUCGGUUCAAAUCGAAAAAAUCGAUCGAACCGAAUCGAUUUGAAAAUUUAAUUCAGUUUUUUAUAUAUUUUAAUUCGAUUCGGUUUUUAAUUUUAAAAAUUUUGGUUAUUUCGGUUCGGUUCGGUUUUGAUCAGAAAAAAAUCGAAAAAACCGAACCGAACCGAACCGAUUAGUAAUAAUAAUAUGUUUUUUCAAUAAUAUAUAGAAAUUAAAUCAUAUUAAAAUUAAAAUAUUUUAAUUAAAUUUUAAAAUAUUAAAAAUAAAGUGUAAAAAAUAAAAAAAUUAUUAAAAAUCGAAACCGAUCAAACCGAACCGAAUCGAACCGAAUCAGUCCGGUUCGAUUCGAUUCGGUUUCUGACCAAAAUUGGUUCGGUUAGAUUUUCAUAAACACUCAAAUUUCGGUUUUUGGUUUAUUCGGUUCGAUUCAAUUUUGAACCGAACCGACCGAAUGCUCACCCUAAAUUCAUAAGAGCUGUAAGUAAAUUAAGUUAUUUGUAAAUUAUUUAAAAUUUAAUUUUAUAAAAAUAUGAUAAAAUUUAAUUUAAUUUUUAAAUGAGUUGAUUUUAAAUUUAAUUUUUGAAUUUAUUUAUUAAACGAGUUAAAUUUAAAUUUAUUAGUAUUUAAUUUAUUAAAAUUCGCGAGUUUAUUUAUUAAAAAAUUUAUGAAUAAAUUCGUUAAGAGAUUCGUAAAUAUGUUCAUUAAAAAAUUUAUGAUCAGAUUCGUUAAGAGAUUUAUGAACAGACUCGUUAAAAUACUCGUUGAACAGGUUCAUUAAGAUAUUCAAUUCGAUUCAAUUACACUCUUAUUUUAUAUGAAUUAAUUAUAUAUUUUUUUAGUUAUUUAAUUCAUUUAUCAUAAAUAUUAUUAAUUUAUAUAUUUUUAUUUUUAAUUUUAAUUUUAUAACUAUAUUAUUAGUUUAUAUAUUUAUUUUUUAUUAUAUAUUUUUUUUAUUGAUAUUUUUUUAAAAUUAUUAAAUUUUUUAAUAAAUUAUUAUUAUUAUUUUAUAUAUAUUUGUAUAAUUAUUUUUUUAUUUAAUAUUAUUCAUUUAAUUUUAUAAAUUAAAUUUUUUAUAAUUUAAAUAUAAAUUAAUAUGAUUCUAUUGAUAAAAUUUAAGUAUAAUGUACAUAUAUAAUUAUAUACUUUAAAUUAAUUAUAUUUAUAUUUAUUUUAUGUAUUAUUUUAUAUUUAUAUUAUAUAAAUAAUAUUUUUUAUAUAAUAUAAAAUAAUUUAAUAUAAAUUAUAUAUUAAAAUAAAAAUAAAUAAUGAUAUAUGAAUAAUCAAAUAAUAAUAUAUCAAUAAUUAAUUAAUGAUAAUAUAUUAAUAAAUUUUAUAUAAAAUUAUCUAUUGAUAUUAAUAAUAAAAUUAUAUAUAUUUAAUUAAAAUUAUAUAAUUUAAAAAAAACUUUCUCUUGUUUAUAUAUAAAUUUAUAUAUUUAUUAUAUAUAUUUCAAUUAAUUUUUUUAUGUAAUAUAAAUAUUUAAAUAAAUAAUUAUUAAAUUUAGUAUUAUAUGGUUGAUUUUAUAUUAAAUACAUUUUAUAGAAUUAAUUAAAAUUUUUAUAAUUAAUUUUUGAAUAAUAAAUAAUAUUUAAUAUUAUAAAUAAAUAAAUAAAUAUUUAAAUAUUAAAAUUUAAAUUAAAAAAUUUAAUUAAAUUAAAAAUUCACUUUUAUUAAAUUAGUAUGCAUUAUUUUACAUAUAAAAUAUUUAAAAAUUAUUGAAAUAAUAUCCUUUUCUAUAUUAAAAAUUUGAUAAAAUUUAUCUAUAAAUAAAAAUUUUAUUUUUUAUUAUAUUUGAAAUUAAUAAUUUGAUUACAAUAGACUUUAAUUAAAUUAUAUUUAAUUUUAUUAAAAUUUCUUUUAAUUUUUUAGUUUAAAAGUUUAAUAUUUAAAAAUUUAAAUUAAUUAAAUUUUAUUAAUGAAUUUUUAAUCAAAUUUUUAAUUUCAAGUUUAAAUUAGAUUUGUUAUUAAUUUAAAUGAAUUUUUCACGAAUCAAGUUCGAGUAUAGUAUUUAAGUUUUAAAUUAAAUUCAAUCUAAAUAUUAGAAUUUGAGUUGAAUUUGAAUUUUUAAAAUUUUUUAAUAAAUAAAUUUAAAUUUAAACUUUAUAAAAUUUGAUCUGACUCGAUUCGAUUACGAUCCUAAUCGAUUCAGAGAAUUUUUUUAACCAAUAAAUACAUCGCAUUAAGCAAGGCCCAUCGUGCUAAAUACAUCGAUAAUAGGCAAGAGCUGUAUACAACAAUUAGAAGUAUGUCUAAGUUAUUUUAGAAUUCAAUUUUAUAGUAUAUAUAUCCAUAUAAAUAAAAAAGCUCAUCUAUUAAAGUAAAAUUUAAGGCCUGUUAAGCCAACACAAGCUUAACAAUACAAGUCCAUUCACUAAGGAGCCUUAAAAACCUAAUUAUCUUCAAAUAUUUUAGAAACUUUAUUAAAUAGUUACUACCAUCACAAUUCUACUGUUGCAGUUAGAGAAAAGAGAGGCCGAAGCUUCAAAAUCCUUUUCUGUUAAGAAAAUCAAAAUGCUGAAUACACAAUAAUAUAAACCCUAUUUUGACAAACCAAUCCGUCUAACGUUUUAGAAAAAGCAAAAAAUAUCGAUUCAACACAAAUUUAAAAAAAUAUACUAAAUACAAUAGUCUUUCGUUUGAACUUUUUUUGUAUAAACGCUAACUACUACUAUUGAUAACAAAAAUAAUUUCAUAGCAGUUUCAAUUUGUUACGGUCAUAAAGCAGUCGUUAGAGUCGAUUUAUACUUCCAUAUUAGUUCACUGAUCAUCAAAUUCACCCAUAAUAAUUAAUUAAAGUAAAGAAUCAAAAUUCAAAUACCGUUAGUCUAGCGUAUUGCAAAUAUAAAUUUAUAGUAAUUUUCAUUUUACUAUACUAAAUUUGUACAUAUAAAAAUAACAACUGCAGCGAAAUAAAAGAAUACAAUGAAUGAAAAAUAUUUUAAAAGAACAAUCAGAGUAUGAGGGAAAAUUUUGGCUUAUGGAGGAUUUUCCUUGUUAGCUGUGGUGAGUUUUACUAGCUAGUAGCUCUAUAGAUUUCUCUCUUGGCUAGGACAACGUUCUACACCUACAUGUGCUUCACGAGUGAGCUACAGAAGACUCUUUUCUUGACUAAGGUUAAUGACUUGAUCUUUGAUUUUGGUGCUUCAAAAUGCUUUUUCAUUUGCCUUGUGCUGCCACAAAUGGUUCUCUUUGUUGAUUUCACUCUAGGUGGAGAUGAAACUAACCUGUUUUCUGUAAAUUUGAUUUGAUUUAUACUGAAUUAACAACUUGCUUUACAUCAGCAAUAUUAUGCUCUUUCUUUCUUUUUUAUCUUUUUUUGAAGAUAAAAGAUAUUAAUAGGUUCAACAAUUACAAUGCCAAAGAGAUUUCUCGGCUCUUGCACCAUGACAUAAGCCCAAGUCUACAAGGCAAAGCUCAGCUUGAGGAUCCCCUAAUCCCUAGCUUGUAGAAAGAAUUAUGUGGAUCAUACCCCUUGAGACCAUGUAGAUUGAGGGACUAACAGGUCAUCCAAGACAGAAAAGAAAAGACGUACAGAGGCACAAGACCUUAAGAUUCAAAGGAUUCAAAACCAGAGAACCUCAAAAACCAUAAAACAAGCACAUCAUGGCCACGCCUUUGCCUAAGCUAAGGAAAGUGAUAAAUAAUUCCAUAAAAAUCAACUACUUUGAAUAGAAAAAAGGAUGACCGUUUCCAAUUACAGAAGACAAAAGACAACAAAUUAACGGUCGUCUAAAAUUAAAGAUGGCAACAGAUCAGAUAUUUUUAAAUAUCAGAUCCGAUCAAAUCCUAAUAGAACUGUUUAAAAAAUAAUAUCUGUUGGAGGUUUGGAUCGAAUUCGAUUUUUAUGUAUAGAGUAUCCACUAUUCAAACUCGUUUAUAUAAAUAAUUAAUUUAAUAUAAAAUAUAUAUUUUAUAAUAAUAUUUAUAAAUUUUUUUAUAUAUUUUUAUUUAAAAAUUAAAAUUUAAAUAUUUUUUAAAAAUAUUAAAUUUUUUAAAUAAAAAUUAUUAAUGAAAAAUAUUUUUAUAUAAAUUAUUAAUUAAAAUAUAUAAAAUUAAACGAAUCGAGAUUUUAUUCAAAUAAUAAUAAUCGAAUUUAAAAUGAAUUGAGUUAAUUUAAAUUAAUUUUUAAUCGAAUUCAAAAAAAAAAUUAAAUAUUACUAAUAUAAAUUAAAUUUAAUUUUAAAUAGUUUAAUUUUCACGAAUAUAAAUAUCUAUUUAUAUCCCUAAAUAAAACCAACUAAAGAUUUACAAGUUUCUUUCUCAAUUAAGGAGAGAAAGCAAUUAGAAACUUUCAAUAAAAAGGAAAAAAUAAUGAAAUUAUCUUUGGAAAAAGAAUCCAUCCAUUAAUCAUUCAAAGAGUAAUAUUAAGGAGACUUCACAUUUCCAAUCAAACCUACCCUCCAGCAAGUGUACAUUGAAUUGUUUUGUGAAUUGGAAAGUACGAGAGUUGACUUCACUUAAUUGAGUUGCAGCAGCAGCAUUCAUAACAGCAGUAGUAAUUCCUCAACUCUCACUGUCCACCCCCUCAUUUAAUUUUCUUUUUUUACUCUUGGUUUCAAAUUGAAGAAAAAGUUUGCUUCCCAAUUCUUGAUCUUUUGUUGUUUUCCUAAAUAAUGCAUCACUUUAUUAAUUCAGUCAUUAAAUGAAUAUAUGAGUCAUUUAUAAAUUACCCUUUAAAUUAUAAAAAUAAUAUUUUAAAGUUUGAUUGAUGAAAAAAUUUAAAUUGAUUUUAUUUGGUUUUUGAAUAAAAAUACAUUUUAUUUAUUAAUUAAACAUGAGAAUUAUUCUAGAUAUUUUUAAAAGGGCAAAAAAAAGAGGGGGGGGAAGAGAAGAAAUCCAAGGUGAUGGGGUUAGUACAAGUGUGUUGAGGUUCACAUGCACAAGAAAACGAUAGAUGCCGCAAUAAUAAUGAAAGAGAGUGUAGAAAGAUAAGACUUGCUUUUGCUAUUUUGUCUCGUACCAACUAUGGUGCGAAUGUUGGAAGCAUGGAGGCAAACCAAAUGGCUACAAUGGCGGCAACCCAUUCCUAUAUCAUCACUGCCCAUUCAUUCACUCUCUCCCACCAACUAGAGAGAGAAACUUCCAUCACUUAUGGGUCUCAAUAAGGUGGUCUCCUCCUUUAACAAAACCCCAUAACCAUAGAAAAGUUUUAGCUUCCUUUCUUCUUCAAGAUUCAAGCAAAAAAAGAGGUUCAUGGUUGGUUUGAUGGGAAAGGCAGCAGUUUCCCAAGUUCAGAAAGUUUUUUCAUUAUGGCUACAGAUGGCUUUAGCUUUGUAGACAAGGUAGAGAGAAAUAGUAAUAGUAGUAGUGAUUGUGCUAGGACUGUGAUGGUUGAUCAAUAUGAUCACUACCAUCCAUUUCCAUCAUGUGGAUUAGGUGGUGGUGGUGGUGAUGGUCCCACACGGUACAUCAAUAGGUGUAUCUCUAGUGAUAUAUACGAUGUUGUUGUCGCUGGUGGAGGCGGUGGUGCUCCUGGUGGUGCAGCAGAUGGUUUAAGAACUCUGCAGCCUUUUGACAUCUCUCCAUCUCAAACGGCUAUCACUGCCUUCAAAUCCCCAGGUGAAAAAAAAAUAAAAAACCCUUCAUUUUUUACUUCUCGUUACUUUUCUAAGUCAGAAAACAGAUCAAGUUUGUUCUUAAUAAUAAGAGAAAAAGAAAGUGAACUGAUUGAAGAUGCUGUUGAUAUGUAUAAAUUUCAGGAAUAAUGGCAUCAUCUAUGGGGUUUCCUUUUACAAUUGCACAGUGGAAAGAGCUUGAGAGACAAGCUUUGAUAUAUAAGUACAUGAUGGCCUCUGUUCCUGUGCCUUCACAUCUUCUCUUUCCAAAUCCAAGAAAUCUCGACUCAGACCAGGCUGCUUGUCGUUCUUCUUGUAAAUUACUCAUGCCUUCUUUUUUGAUUUUCUGUUUUUCUUAAUCAUUGGCCAGAUGGGUAUUCGAGAAAAUCCCAAAAAUUUCCAACCUUUAUGCGUAAUUUGUUAUAUAUGGUUAUGCAGUGGGUGGUGGUCUUAAUCUCAAGUUCACAAAUGGGGCAGAUCUACAACCGGGGAGGUGCAGGAGAACUGAUGGGAAGAAGUGGAGGUGCUCAAGAGAUGUGGCUCCUGAUCAGAAAUACUGUGAGCGUCACAUGCACAGAGGCCGUCCCCGUUCAAGAAAGCCUGUGGAACUCCAAGCCAACACCGAUAUUAACAAUAGCAAGAAGAAGACUCGUUAUACUCCUGCUAUUUCUGCAGAAUCUCCAGUUCCUGCUGCUGUUGGUUCUCAAUUUUUAGGUACCAUUUCGCAUCCAUACCUCCAGGCUAGUGACAAAGUUGCAAACUUUGAUGCUUCUCUGUCCUUUGCUUCAGCAUUCAAGGAACCCAGGUAACAUUUUUCCCCCUUUUGAAUGAUAAGCCAAUAGAAGAAAACUAAAUAUGCUGAUUUAAAAAAAAAAAAAAAUUGUUGCAAUAUGAAGGAGUUUAGAGUGGUUGAUAAAAGGAGAACCUGCUGAUCAACAAUGGCACCAUGGAGGAGAAGCUCUGAACUUGAACUCCUAUGGGAAUUUCAGUGCAGGAGAUGAUCAACAGAGCAAUCACUCUACUUUAUUUCUCAAUGGUACACCUAGAGGUUUCAUUGAUGCAUGGUCUAAUGGAGCAUCAGAUGACCAGAGUGAAACCUCGAGAAACACUGGUUCUGGCGUUUCCUCAAAUGGGAAGCUUUCACAAUCCUCUCUGUCCCUUUCAAUGGGAGGUUUCAACAGCAUGGAUGACGAAAAGGGUCAGAUUCAAAUGGGUUUAGGCCUAAUAGAAUCAGACCAAAAUCGUGAAUGUUCCACAAAAUCGCUGGGUCUGGCCCCUGCUUCUUGGACAGGGGCUACGCCUGGUGGUCCUCUGGCAGAAGUCAUACAACUGAGUUCGGCGAACACUGGUAGUCAGUCAUCUCCAGCAGCUGAAAAUGGAGAAUCUGGGAGCCCUCCAGCAACUGCGGUUUCUUCGCCGUCUGGGGUUCUGCAGAAAACACUUGCUUCGUUUUCAGAUAGUAGUAGCAAUAGCAGCCCAGUAAUGGCGAGUUCUCAAAAGGCCAAAUCUGAGAUUGGGCUGUUGUGGUUGAAUUGAUGAGACAUUUUAUAGAUUAGAUUUUCAUGCUGCUUUUUUUUUUUUCUUCAUGCGGUUGUUUAAUGAUUUUGGCUUGUGAACUUGAACUCUUCCAUGAAUUUUUAUUCGGUGAAUUUUGAAAUCAAUAUAUGCAUAUUUUAUCUUCGUAGUUUGUAUUUGAUUCUUACAGCAAGUUUGGAAAAAAAGAACACAAAAAAGUUCAAGUGAUUUUUUAUAAAAUUUAUACAUGAGUUCAAUUUUUACAGUGAAAAUUUUAAAUUGAAAAUAAUUAAAUUCGUUUAUUUUUUAAAAAAUAAAAUAUAAAAAAUACAUUUAAUUAAGUUUUUGCUAUACCCGCCAUGUCAGUGAAGGAAAACCGAUUAGGAGCCAUCAAUUUGAAAAAAAAUAUUAAAUUUAAUCAUAAUUCAAAGUAAUUUAUUUGUUUUAUUUUAUUUAAACAUUGUUUAAACUCAAAUUUUAUAUUAGACGUGCAAUAAAAUAGUUAAAAUUACUAUUACAUAGAACAAAAGGAGGUUAGCUUGUCCACCCGUUUUUCGAUUGAUUAUGUGAAAGUGAUUUAUUGAUUUAUCCAUCUUUGUAUUCUCUCUAGUUCUUUCUGAUAAAAUUUUUUAGGAUUUAUAUUUUUGUAUAUUUUAAUUUAUAUCCUGCUCGUCGCUUUGCGAUAUGAACUUAGCUUAUUCAACCUCCAUUUUUAUUACUUGUUGUUUCUUUUCCUUUUUUAUUUCUCUGCUUUGUUCUUUUUUUUUUUUUUUUNNNNNNNNNAGCUUAAUUGAAAAAAAAAAAUGAAAUUCAUAUGAAAAUAUAAAAAGCUAACAAGAAUUUAUAGAAUUCAAGAUGCACCGAAGGGGAGCUAAAAGAAAUAUAAAAAAUAAGAGAUGUGAAUUUUUAGUCGUUGGAACUAUGUUACGUUAAAAAAAAAAAGAGCGUAAGAACUUUGUGUUGUAUUUCAUGUCAAUAAAACAUGAUUAUACUCUUAACUAAACAUUUUAGCAAUGUAUUUUACAUAUUCACAUAAAAGAGAUGAUGGUUUGGAUUUUAUUAUGAGAGUAUUUGUAAAUUAGAAAAGUAAAAGAUAUAUAAAAAUAAAAGAAAAAUGAUAUAGGUAUUAAUAUUAAUUUAUUUGCACCUUUUCAAAUCAAUCAAGGAUUUCACGACUAUUUAAUAAUGACUAGACAUUUCAACAAUAUAUUUUACAUGUUGACAAAGAAGAGAUGAUAAUAUUGACUUUAAUACGAGAGUGUUUAAAAAUUAAAAAAGUGAAAGAUGCACGGAAGAAUGAGAAAGAAAUGAGAUGGCCAUUGGGAUCAAUUUAUUUGCAUCCUUUUAAGUUAAUGAAGGAUUUCACAACUAUUUGAACAUAAUGUAAAAAAAACUAAAUGACAUAUUGUAUGAUUUCAACAAUAAAAUGCAUAUCAUAAGUGAGAAAGAUAAUUUUAAAAGAUUCACAGUAAAGUGAAGAGCAAAAUUCUGAGUUUUAACAUGUAUAGUUAUUUCUCCAUAGCAAAAGUAGUUUCAUUCAAUUAGUGAGGAAGUGAAAUCUAAACAGUGAUAAACCAAUAUCACAAUAGAUUUGGUUUAAAUUUCAUAUUUGUAUAUUUUAAAACUUAUCUUUUGUAACUGUAUUUAUCUUUGUACGUAGUUUAUUUAAAGACAAUUGCAAUAUAAUACAAAACACGAUUUCUCCCAUCUAUUUCUCUCUUCCUAUUAUGGUAUCAGAGCUGUAAAAAGUAUACUUGCUUUUUUCGAUCCUAAAUCACUUCCGCUUCUUUAAUUUGUUUCUAAUUUUUCUAUUGCUCUCCAUGUCUUCAUCAAGUCCUAUAAGUUUGCCUCAUUCUAAUGGCAUAAACUUGAUUUCUUUCAAUUCUAAUAAGUUUCCAUUGAAACUGUCUGCACAAAAUUAUCCAACAUGGAGAGCAUAGGUUCUUCCUGUUCUUCGUGGUCAAAAUCUUAUGGGUUAUGGGUAAUGUGGAUAGGUCUUUGCCACCUCCACCUGCUUUUACUCAAGUCGGUGAGAAUGACACAACAACCUUCACCAAUAAGUCAGCAACAAGAGUUUUAUCUCUUCGUGAAAAGUUAUCAACUGCUAAACAUGAUAACAAAUCGAUUUCUGAUUACCUGCAACAAAUAAAAAACGUCGCAGAAGCUCUUUCAGGUAAUACAGUUUCUGAUGUGGAUUUGAUUGUCUAUAUUUUGAAUGGUAUCAGAUUAGAAUUUCGUGACAUAGCAAUAGCAAUUCAAGCUCGUGAUACUGUGACAAGUUUUAAAGAACUUGACGAUAAACUUUUGACUCAUGAAAUAUAUCUUAAGAGUACAGAUUCCUCUUAUGAUCUUGUUCCAUUAACUGCUCAUAGUGUUCAAAAGGGUUCCUAUCUCAAACAGAAUUAUCGAUCUAAUGGUCAAGAUAGCUCGACUGCUUAUGGAACCAGAACUGGUAAUAUCUCAAAUUCUUCUAACAAGAUUCAGCCUUCUGCUCGUUAUAGUGUUCGUACGUCUAGUUCAUCAUGGCAUCAACGAUUAGGUCAUCCAGCUACAAAAAUUCUCAAUUAUAUUGUGUCUCAUUUUUCUUUAUCAGUUUCUAAAGUUAAUCAGAUAAAUUGUGAUUCUAGUCGUUAUAAUAAGAGUUAUCGACUCUCUUUUGGUGUUUCGUCAUUGUCGAGUUCUCGUCCUUUAUAAUUAUUAUAUUCUGAUCUAUAGGGUCCUGCUCCAGUUCAAUCUAGAGAUGAUUAUAAAUAUUAUUUGAUCUUUAUUGAUUAUUAUACUAAAUAUAUUUGGUUUAAUCCUCUUCGAGCUAAAUCUGAUGUUGCUAUUAUUUUGUCAGUUUUUCAGAAAUUGGUUGAAAAUAGCUUUUAAACAAAAAUUGUGUCUAUAUAUAUAGAUAGGGGAAUGGAGCUUAUUGCUUUAAAAUCUAUUUUUCAAGCUCAUGGCAUUAAUAAUCUUCAAAUGCCCCCUUAUACUCCACAACAUAAUGGAGCUGCUGAACAUAGACAUUGUCAUGUGGUUGAAACUGGGUUAACUCUUCUUCAUAAUACUUCUUUACCUUCUGAAUUUUGGGUUUAUGGAUGUCGUGCAGCUGUAUAUUUGAUCAACAGGUUACCAACACCUACUCUAGAUUGUUCUUCUUCAUUUCUUAAAUUGUUUGGUAAAGUUUCAAUUUAUUCUGAUUUACAAAUUUUUGGUUUUCUUUGUUAUCCAUGCAUUCGUCCUUACGCAAAACACAAAUUCUCUCUUAAAUCAUUUUCGUGCUUGUUUCUUAGUUAUUCCUUAAAUCAAAACGCCUAUCUUUGCUUCGAUUAUAAAAAUAACAAGAUGUUUAUUUCUUGACAUGUCGUCUUUGUUGAGGAUCAAUUUCCUGGGCAUUCACUUGAUUUGUCUGCGUUAGAUAAUUCUGGUUGGUAUGAUUUUGUUUCUGACCAGUUUGUGUUGUCAAAUUCUAGUACUUCUGUCUCAUUUCAAUUGCAGGAAAAUUCUGGUGCAGCUGUUGUUCUACCUUUUUCUGCUGUAGUAGAACCUGUUUCAACGUCUUUAGCUUGUUCAGGUUCCACUUCCAGCUUCUCCAAUCCAUCUUCAUCGAGUUCCUCAUCCUCCAGUCAUUCUCCAUUACUGUUAGACAUUCCUGGUCAGUCUUCUUUGCCUACGAAUAUUGUAAGUUCUCCUCCAAAUACUGGUUAGUCUACUUCGUCCAAUGAUGAUGCUUCGGAUACUAAUGUCAAUAUUGUUACUCCUAUCCAGCCCCUUGUUCGAACCUAUUUGAUGGUUACUAGGUCCCAUAAUGACAUAUUGAAGUCGAAAAAUCGUAAUCUAGUAACUAAGCAUCCAAUUCCAACACUUUCUGAACUGACAUGUGUUUCACAGGCUUUUCUUGAUCAUCAAUGGUGUGCUGCCAUGUCUGAUGAGUUUAAUGCUUUGGUAAGGAAUGGAACAUGGGUAUUGGUACCACAUGAUCUGAAACAUAACUUGGUUGGUUGUAAAUGGCUUUUUCGAGUUAAAAAGAAUGUUGAUGGUAUUAUUGACAGAUACAAAGCCCAUCUUAUUGUGAAAGGAUACAGUCAACAACUUGGAAUAGAUUUUGGGGAUACUUUCAAUCCUGUUUUAAAACCAGUGAAACACAUGUCAGUUCAGAAGUACUAGUAGAUUGCAUAAAACUAAGACGACAGAAGUACUAGUGAUCACUCUUUAUUGUCUAUAACAACGAUAAUACAUUAUGUUAUUUUCUUGUAUAUGUUAACGACUUUCUUGUUAUAGGAAGUUGCAAGGCCUUCAUACAAAAAUUCAUUGACAAGCUUGCUAUCCAUUUUUCAUUAAAGAAUUCACAUAAUUUCAAUUUGUUUCUUGGUAUUGAUAUGCAACAAACUUCGAAGGGAGUGUUCUUAUCUCAACACCAUUAUGUGCAUAAAUUACUUGCUACUCAUAGCAUGGAAGUAGCUAAGCCGAUUACCACACCCUUUGCAGCUUCUGCGAUACUCUUGAAGAGAACAGAAACUGAAGAAAUUGUUAAUGCAACUAAAUAUAGAAAGGCAGUAGGUGCACUCUAGUAUUUGACUUGGACAAGACGUGAUAUUUGUUUCUUAGUAAACAAGCUUUCUCAAUUUAUGCAAAGCCCCACAAAGUUGCAUUAGGAAGCCUUGAAAUGACUCCUUCGUUAUCUCAAGUCCACUCUUUAUUAUGGCAUUCUUAUUAAACCGUAUUCUUCUCUUAAAUUUCAUGCUUUUUAAGAUAUGGAUUGGGCUGGGAAUCAUAUGGAUAGAACAUCAACUGCGGGGUAUAUCUUGUAUCUUGGCAAUACUCCAAUUUCUUAGUCUUCCAGAAAGCAAAAAUCCGUUACUCGGUCAUCUACGGAGGUUGAAUAUUGUGCGGUAGCAAUAACAACUUCUUAGGUAAUGUGGGUCAACUCUCUAUUAUUUGAACUUAGGAGUUCAGUUGCAAGACAAUUCACUGCUCAUUUAUUGUGACAACAUUUCUGUAAUACCCGGCUAGAGUCCGGUAUCGGAAUUCCUGUAGUCUGGUGGAAUCUCGGGAGUCGAAAUCCUCUAGAAGGAUAAUACAUAUGUGUGCUAAAGAAUUUUACCUUGUUUUAAUGUUUUAAGUAUAAAGGAAAAUGAGUUUUUGAAAGAAAAGAGCCAGGGGAGAAAAUGGCAAGUUCGGCCGUCGAAAGUGAGUUUCGGCCGCCGAACCUUGCAUGGUUUCGGGUUUUACGUUUGGCCGACGAAGGUGGUCUGGCCAGCCACCUAUAAAGGGCCCUAAGUCGGUGGAAGGAUGAUAUUUUGCUUCCACCUUCAGCCAGAGGUGAGUCCAAACCCUUCCCAAGUUGACUUUCAUGAUUUUAUUUAAAUCUUUCAAGUUUUUUAAGAGUUUUGAUGUUGUUUUGAAGUUUUUGAGCAAAAGAGCUAAGUUUGGAAGCUUGGAGCCUUUGAGAGAAGAUUUCUCCAUAUCUCCACGUUGGGAUCAUUUAUUCUCUUGUUUGGAAGAGGUAAGUAAAGAUCCUGAACUUCCUUUCUUGAUUUUGAAGGUUUUAUGGAAGUUUUAUGGGUAGUAUGCAUGAUAGGGUUUAGUUGAGGUUUUUGGAUGAUUUUUGUGUAUAAGCAUGUAUAUGUGUUAUGUGUUAUGUUUUUUGGGGCUAUAAGUUAGUUGUAGACCCUUUUAUGCAUGUUAUAUGGUAUGUGCUAGUUGGGAGUAGUUGUUUGCAUGUUGAGGUAAGUUUGGGGGACAGUUUGCAUGAAACAGAGCAGGGUUCUGCCCUUCGGGCAGAACCAGAUUCGGCUGCCGAAGGAAGGUUCGGCCACCGAACCCUUGUGGAGGCAGUUUCGGCUGCCAAAGCUUGCCUCCGAAAAUUGGGACUUUCAUCUCUGGAGGGAAGGUUCGGCAGCCGAAAGUGCCGCCGAAGGUUGAGUUUCGUCUCUGGACGAGACUUUCGGCUGCCGAAGGUGCCGCCGAACAUGCAUGAGUUUCGUCUCUGGAGGGGGGUUUCGGCCGCUGAACCUGCCACCGAAAGUGCCCUGUCCAGCUUUCUUUAGCAUGUUUUAUGUGAUUGUUUUAGGAUCUUUUAAGGGGGGGUUUUGGGGAGUUUUAUAGAGAUAUUCUUGUGUUAGUUUGGUCCCUCAUUUGAGUCCACCUGUGUAGGAACGGACCAGAGGAACCAGCGAGUUCAGCAGUGAGCACUGCUUCAGAACCUGCAGAGUAAGUUCAGAGUCAGCCAGAGGUGAGUGGAACUAAACUUAACCAUUUUAAUAUGAGUAACCAAAUGCUUUGAGCUUGUUUCAUGCAUCAUGACCAUGUUAUAGGUUGAUCGCAUUAGAUAUCACGAAUAUGAAGCAUUGCAUACUUUGUUGUUGAUGUGGGUGAUCUGGAUGAUCCAAUAGUCCCUGAGAGCCAGGUGCCUACCUCUACGCCCUGGCAUAGAUGAGAUAGUCAGGUGCCUACCUCUACGCCCUGACCCAGAUAGAUGAGAUAGUCGGGUGCCUACCUCUACACCCUGACACAGAUAGAUGCCGGGACUAGUUGGUGACAGGUUUACCCUUGCUGUGGCUUGUUUGUGCUGUGAUGCAUUCUACGAGAUCAUGUUUUUAAUAACAUGUUUUAUUGUUCUGCUCACUGGGCUAGUAUAGCUCAUCCCUCUCCCUUAACCCCAGCUUUGCAGGUACAGAGUCCAGAGAGAAGUCAGCAGAGUAUAGAAGAGUAAAGAGAUAUGUAAUAGCUAGUGUGGACAUGUAAUUAUAAAGAGAUAGUUUAUGUUGUAUAGUGUAUAGAAUUGUGCUUGAUCAUUAUAAGAGUUGUAAUUCCUUUGUAUACAUGAUCUUUUUAUGUAAAUGAGUUUACCUUAUGUGUUUAAAAACCAGGCUUAACAUAGUAUGAGUUUAGCCCACCUAGAGCAAAGAUGAGAGCUCUAGUAGGGGUUUACAGUACAGAGUUAGUGCAUGCACAGGUUAAGCCUUGGUACAGAGAAAGGUUUUAAUUUUUACAGAAAAUGUAUGAUCAUGUAUGGGAAUUCACAGGUACACAGAGUUCACAGCAGGCUUGCUACGGGUCCCGGCGGCCUUAAGCCGAUCUGGAUCCUAGCGCCGGUAGCAGUUCGGUUUCCAGGCUGUUACAGAUUGGUAUGAGAGCCCUAGGUUCAUAUGGUCAGAUCUAUAUAGAGAGAGUCGGGCUCAUAGAGGUGCUAGUUGGUCAAGCACAAUAGGAAAACAUGUCCACGAGGAUAGGAUGUUAGUCCUGUUUAUAUGAUGAUGUGAAAUGCCAUGACUUGUGCAUGUGCGUUAUUAUAUGUGAUGUAUGCUUAUGUGCUCUGUUAUGUGUUGUUUUUAGAGAGUUAAGAUGCGAGGAACUCGUCGAUCCGCAAGAUUGACUGGAGUCCCACCAGAAAGUGAGGGUACAACUGCUCGUCCUCCUGCUUUGCCAAGGGCAAGGACUCACAGGUCAAGCGGGGAGGGAACGUCAAGAGACCCUAGAAGGUCUUCUGACGAGAGCAGAAGAGGAGUAGACAGAGGGGGAAGGUCAGAGGAAGAGAGAGAUGCUAUGGAUGCUGACCAGAGUAGAGAUGAAAGCAUGGGUAUGGGAAGGUCGGAGGAAGGUAUGGGCGAGUCCCAAGGAGGCGCACAGGCCUCGGGGUUUGGCUAUCCACCCUUUCCACAGGGCCCCGGGUAUCCGAUGGGAGGUACGUCGGAGUACUCCAGCUUCACCCCAUAUCCACCCUAUAUGCCUUACAUGCCUUAUCCAUCCUUUUAUCCACCAUAUCCCAUGUAUCCACCCCCACCUUCUCAUUCAAGUCCAGCACACCCUGAACCUAGAGAAACAGUACCUCCACCUCCACCACCA